Molecule: long non-coding RNA, 56605 nt
Filed under: Triticum aestivum (bread wheat)
Lineage: Eukaryota; Viridiplantae; Streptophyta; Magnoliopsida; Poales; Poaceae
Description: long non-coding RNA (TAES_LNC020011)
Source: RNAcentral
UUUUUUAAUCUCAGGUCACUAUUUCACCUAUGAGAUAUCCAACACAUAUAUAUACAACAAGCAUCCAUAUAACAUACAUAGCCAACACACAAGUUCCAUCAUAUAUACAUACAUAGCCAACACAUAGUUCCAUCGUUACAUAUUACAAAAGUUUCACAUUGUUCAUCCAACACCGUUAUCCAUCAAUUCACAAAAGUUUCACAUUGAUACAAAAUUCAGUUCUCAUGAUUGUUCUCCUUCUCCUUCCUCAGCCUGAUGCGCAAAGAGCGGCGAUGCGGUGGAGGCGGUGGAGGCAGUGGGAUGUAGUCUUCUACAUCAAUUGGCGUGGUCAUGUCGCCCAGCUGUGGGAUCGCCGGCGCCACCACCAGUGCGUGGUCAUUGUCAAGCACCACCACCAUCGCGAGGCCACCUUCAGGCACGACCAUCGCUAGGUCAUCCUCAGCCACCUCCAUCUCUUGCCCAUGGUCAGCCACCACCAUCUCUUGCCCUUGGUCAGCCACCACCAUCUCUUGCCCUUGGUCAGCCACCACCAGCGCUAGGUCAUCCUCAGCCUGAUGCCCAUCAUCAUCCUGCAGCUCCUCAUCCCCACUCUGCUCCUCUUCUCCCGCACUCCAGUCCGGAUCAUCCUUCUUGUUGUCUAUGCUGCUGCCAGAAUCGCUGCUGCUUUCGUUACAGCCAUGGUCGCUGCUGCUUUCGCUACAGCCAUGGUCGCUGCUGCUUUGGCUGUAGUCAUUGUCGCUGCUGCUGCUCUCAUUACCUGUCCAAAUGCAACAAUCACCGUUAACAAUCAAUGUGAGACAAAGCCAAAUGUAGAGGAAUAACAAGAGGCAGAACGUACCGGCAACAUAAUCUUCAGCGUAGCGCAUGCGACACAUAGUCGUGUUGAACACCUUCACGAUGAGCGUGGUGGCGUCGUCGUCGUACCUGAAGAGAAGGAAGUACCCCAGCCGCAGGUCGUAGGCACGGUAGAACUUCUCCCACCCACGAGACAAGUACAUGUGGCCCUCCUUGAUCACCAACUCCACAUCCCACAGCCUGCGAAACCCGCUGCCGGCCUGUCGCACCUUCACAUUAUUUGGCGGAUCUUCACGCAUCAGCAUUUUCUUAAAACUUUCAGGCAGCCUCUGCAGUUUGGGACAAUGAGUGAUGUAGGCAAACAACAGAUAUCAUAAUGAGAUGGGUGAAGCUAGGGGAUAUCUCUCGUUUUAUAUACCUGCGUCAUGGAUGAUACUGAAGUCCCAAGUAUGAUAGUGAAGAACUCGGAAGCAUCCAACUCGUACUGCGGUGUCGCAGAGCGGCGGUGGCUGCUUCCCGCCAUCUCUGAUAAGCAGCAGAAGAGACCAAUUAGUACCCUUACAACAGAUCAUAAAACAUGCAUGAUAACAGGCAUUAGUCGCAAGUACCUCAUAUGUCCGAUUUUUACCAAAGUCAUGCUAAAAUUCAAGGAAAAUUUCAGCAUGACCUUUGCUUAAAAUAGGACAUAUGGAGUACCCGAAUUUGCCGGAACGGAAGUUAAUCGACAUUCCGGCAAACUCAAGAUAGGUGAAAAUAGCAAUCACACAUCUGAGCAGACAUUAGCAAUAUAUGACAGAAAUGUACAUGAUGAUUAACAAGCUUGGGCUUAGCAGUAAUAUUCUGAGAAAAUAUUUGCAAAAUGAUCCCACUAUGUUGACAAAUGAUCCCACUAUGUUGUUAUACUUGAGAACAUUGUAACAAAAUCAAAACCACAAUAAACAGUGGUCAGAUAUAACAGGUACAAUUACACAAAGCAUCUGAAUACACACAUACUUCAUCUAUCAAGUAUAACUCUGUCAAGCCAAGAAGGUAUGAGCUGUUCAUGGAAGCCUUUGAUCAUAAUAUCUAAAGGCAUAGACAAAAUCUACAAGCAGUCAACAAAAAGGUCACACGCACCCACUCAGAGGAACAACGUAUUUAAAUCUAGGAAAUGAAAAUGAUCCAUUUCUACAUGGAAUCAAUCAAGUACCAUCUAAACUGAAACCAUGUUUUUUAUGGGGGAGGGUCCACCACAGUGGCUUGUCAUUGGGGCCCUCAGGUGUCAUUGCAAUAUAGCCCAGGCAGGCGCACCCCAACCAAAACUAAGUUGAAAAUAAAUACGGAUUCAAAUUCUUAUGCCAAAGACUGUUAAACCUACUUGGUCAUCUGCACGCAGUCGUUCUGAAAUUUGGUUCUUGUGACAGUUUGCAUUUUGUUUUUAUAUAUAUGGAUCGCCUCAUUGCUGUGAUUUUCUUGGCCUACUUGGUCAUGUGCAUGCAGGUGUGUUCUGAAAUUUGGUUCUUGUGACAGUUUGCGUAUGGAUCGCCUCAUUGCUAUUGAUUUUCUUGCCCAAGUCUAUUGACACGUUGUUGAUUGCUGGCCUAACUCGUUGCAGCCAGCUAUAAUGGGGAAAAUGAAAACAACACCAUUCUGAACUUGUUGCAGCUAUGACGGAGCAAAGCUAAGGUUAAUAAGAUUGAUACAAAAUCUCUGUUCUGCAGCAUUGCCACCUAAACAGACAAGUGAAGGAAUGCCAAGAGAUGGCGUGGGCGGCUGCGGGCGACGACAGGCACGGUGGGGGCGCAAUGCCGCUGCGGCAGCAGGUCAACAUGGCAGCGAUGAAUUGAGGCAAAGUAAAGGGGGAUCCAGAGGAGAAGCUCACCACGAAGUCGGGGACAUGGUCGGGGAGGCCGGGGACGGACCAGAGCGGGAGGUGGAUGCUGCUCCUCGGUGAGGUGGACGCGCUGCUGCUUCUCCUUGUCGGCGGGGGGUCGGCGGCGGCGGUGGAGAGCGGUCACGGGGAGCGCGGGGAGGCUCGCGCCGCCGUCCGUCCGAGGAGGUCGCGGGCUCAAGGGGGAGUAAGGGGAGAGGGAGGCGGCGGGGGCGCGUGGGCGGCUGCGGCGCAGUGGGUCGGUGUAGCGGCGGCGGCGGCGCGGUGGAGGGAGGGACGAGGGAAGGAGCGGCGCGGUGGAUCGAGGGAGAGGGAACUGGCGAGGGGGACAGGGAAAGGGGGGAUCGGGGCGAAGGGGUAUCCUAUAGCAAUGGCGCACCACCUCGUGGUGCGCCAUUAGUAGUUUUUUUCUUAUAUCAAUGGCGCACCCACCUCUGGUGCGCCAUUAGAUUUACUACAGUUGGAGCACAUGUUAUAUUGCACCUAACCCAAUCCACAUCAGAACCCGCACACUAGCUCAACUGGUCAGCACGCAGCACACACACCAGGAGGUCCUGGGUUCGAUUCCCAGGCUCCGCAAUAUUAAUUUUUUGCAUUUUAAAUGUUGGUUGAUAUUUAUUUGUGUUUAAAUAUGUUUAAACUUGUUUAAAUCAUAACAGUAAUAUUUUUUUAUAAAAACAGUAAUAAUUUUUUAAAAAAUAUGUUCAAAUUUGUUACUUGAAAAUAUCAUCGGCGGCGGCGGUGGAGCGGGGGAGGGUGCGGGGGGUGCGGCGGCAGUGGAGCGGGGGAGGGUUGCGGUGGGUCGUCGGCGGCGGUGGAGCUAGCUAGCGGGGGAGGGUGCGGGUGGGAUCGAGAUCGAGAUGGAGGGGGAUCGAGAUCAAGUGUCCUCAUGAAUUCAAAAAGUGCCCAUGAAAUUUGAAAAGGGUAGGAUAGAAGCUUCUGCUUGAACCAACGCGUGAAACAUGAGUUGUGCUCUUUGAGUAUAUCUCCGUCCGUCCUCUGUUGGCCUCGGUCAUUGUACGUCUUCUCAAUAAAGGUUUUGUGCUCUACCACCCAAGGAUCGACCACGUCUAUGUGUUGUAGCGCGACUAGGUUUGCUCUUUCAAAGUCGGCGAGUCGACCCUCGAAGUCGACAUGCAUUUCGUGGCGACCCUCACGGUGAACCCAUUCAGCGAGCCUGCCGAGGUGCCUGUUGACGGCAGACCAACGGGGUUCUCGAUGCCUAGAUAAUUUGUGUAGUAGGAGAUGCACUCUUCGGUCAGAAAGCCCCUGGCUAUGCUUCCCUCUGGACGUGACACACCAAUCUCUUCCUGUAGCCUUCUGAGUUGCCUCACGCCAAUCGACUUCUAAGAGAUGACGUCGAAAAAGUUGCAUAGGCCAAAUAUCAUUUCACGGACGUGCGCGUCCAUGAUCCCACGGAUUGCAACUGGAAGUAUUUGCGUCAUCAUCACGUGACAGUUGUGAGACUUCAUCCCGCUGAACUUCUGCUUCGCUGGGUCUAGGUAUCUGCUUAUCUUCCCCGCGUAACUGUAAGUAAGUUUUACUACUAGGAGGCAGGUGAAGAACUGCUCGAUCUCCUCCUGACUUAGAGUGAAGCACGCGGGAGGGUAGUCAUUUCUGGUCUUCUUGGCCUUUUUGCCUUUGCGACGACUUUCUGUGUCCUGCUUCGCCUCAUCAUCAUCAUCAUCAUCAUCAUUAGCGUGAAGCUCCUGCCUGAUGCCCAUUGAUUUCAAGUCUGCCCUUGCUUUCGGCCCAUCUUUGGUCCUCUCUGGCAUGUUGAGCAGGGUACCAAGCAGACUCUCGCACACGUUCUUCAUGAUAUGCAUGAUAUCAAGGCUGUGAGGCACACGGUGGAUCUUCCAGUACAACAAGUCCCAGAAAACAGACCUCGUUUUCCAUACCUUCAGCAGCGGCUCUGGCGCCUUUCGCUUCUUUCCUGGCUCUGGCGCCUUUUGCUUCUUUCCCGCCAGUGGGCAGUCUUUCCAAUUUUUCAACAGCUUGUCUAUUUCCUCGCCGCUCCUCAUACACGGGUGUUUUCGGGGUUCGGUUGAGUAGGGGAGGGGUGCGGGGGGUCGGUGGCGGCGGUUGAGUAGGGGAGGGGUGCGGGGGGUCGGUGGCGGCGGUACACCUCCAAACACAAACACAUAGUUAGGAAAAAAAAUAAAAAAAAACAUUAGUGGCGCACGCUGUUAAAAGUGCGCCAUUACUAGUUACAACUACUAAUGGCGCACUGUACAAAGAUGCGCCAUUAGUAUGUUUGGACAGACGCUCCAGUUUAAAAAAAAAGUUUAGGAUUCUAAUGGCGCACCGUAGGCAUGGUGCGCCAUUAGUACUUUCAACACUAAUGGCGUAUCUGAAUGUGGUGCGCCAUUAGUAUGUACUAAUGGCGCACCAGCUGUCAGGUGCGCCAUUAGUGUCAAUCCCAUCUAUAGCCCUUUUUCUAGUAGUGGAUGCACUAGGUAUGACACCUAGAUCGGAUAUGAACUCCUUCAUUCAGACUCCUUCAUUAGCUGCUUCCGAAGCUGCUAUGUACUCCGCUUCACAUGUAGAUCCCGCUACGACGCUUUGUUUAGAACUGCACCAACUGACAGCUCCACCGUUUAAUGUAAAUACGUAUCCGGUUUGUGAUUUUGAAUCGUCCGGAUCAGUGUCAAAGCUUGCAUCAACGUAACCACUUACGAUGAGCUCUUUGUCACCUCCAUAUACGAGAAACAUCUCUUUAGUCCUUUUCAGGUACUUCAGGAUAUUCUUGACCGCUGUCCAGUGAUCCACUCCUGGAUUACUUUGGUACCUCCCCGCUAAACUAAUAGCAAGGCACACAUCAGGUCUGGUACACAGCAUUGCAUACAUGAUAGAGCCUAUGGCUGAAGCAUAGGGAACAUCUUUCAUUUUCUCUCUAUCCUCUGCAGUGGUCGGGCAUUGAGUCUUACUCAACUUCACACCUUGCAACACAGGCAAGAACCCUUUCUUUGCUUGAUCCAUUUUGAACUUCUUCAAAACUUUGUCAAGGUAUGUGCUUUGUGGAAGUCCAAUUAAGCGUCUUGAUCUAUCUCUAUAGAUCUUGAUGCCCAAUAUGUAUGCAGCUUCACCGAGGUCUUUCAUUGAAAAACUCUUAUUCAAGUAUCCCUUUAUGCUAUCCAGAAAUUCUAUAUCAUUUCCGAUCAGCAAUAUGUCAUCUACAUAUAAUAUCAGAAAUGCUACAGAGCUCCCACUCACUUUCUUAUAAAUACAGGCUUCUCCAAAAGUCUGUACAAACCCAAAUGCUUUGAUCACCCUAUCAAAGCGUUUAUUCCAACUCCGAGAUGCUUGCACCAGUCCAUAAAUGGAUCGCUGGAGCUUGCACACUUUGUUAGCUCCCUUUGGAUCGAUAAAACCUUCUGGUUGCAUCAUAUACAACUCUUCUUCCAGAAAUCCAUUCAGGAAUGCAGUUUUUACAUCCAUUUGCCAAAUUUCAUAAUCAUAAAAUGCGGCAAUUGCUAACAUGAUUCGGACAGACUUAAGCAUCGCUACGGGUGAGAAGGUCUCAUCGUAGUCAAUCCCUUGAACUUGUCGGAAAGCCUUUGCGACAAGUCGAGCUUUGUAGACAGUAACAUUACCGUCAGCGUCAGUCUUCUUCUUAAAGAUCCACUUGUUCUCUAUUGCUUGCCGACCCUCGGGCAAGUCAACCAAAGUCCACACUUUGUUUUCAUACAUGGAUCCCAUCUCAGAUUUCAUGGCCUCAAGCCACUUUGCGGAAUCUGGGCUCACCAUCGCUUCUUCAUAGUUCGUAGGUUCAUCAUGAUCUAGUAGCAUGACUUCCAGAACAGGAUUACCGUACCACUCUGGUGUGGAUCUUACUCUGGUUGAUCUACGACGUUCUGUAGUAACUUGAUCUGAAGCUUCAUGAUCAACAUCAUCAACUUCCUCACUAUUUGGUGUAGAUGUCUCAGAAACCGGUUUCUGAGAUAAACUACUUUCCAAUAAGGGAGAAGGUACAGUUACCUCAUCAAGUUCUACUUUCCUCCCACUCACUUCUUUCGAGAGAAACUCCUCUAGAAAGGAUCCAUUUUUAGCAACAAAUGUCUUGCCUUCGGAUCUGUGAUAGAAGGUGUACCCAACUGUCUCCUUUGGGUAUCCUAUGAAGACACACUUCUCCGAUUUGGGUUCGAGCUUAUCAGGUUGAAGCUUUUUCACAUAAGCAUCGCAGCCCCAAACUUUAAGAAACGACAACUUUGGUUUCUUGCUAAACCAUAGUUCAUAAGGUGUCGUCUCAACGGAUUUUGACGGUGUUCUAUUCAAUGUGAAUGCAGCCGUCUCAAGAGCAUAACCCCAAAACGAUAGCGGUAAAUCUGUAAGAGACAUCAUAGAUCGCACCAUAUCUAGUAAAGUGCGAUUACGACGUUCGGACACACCAUUGCGCUGUGGUGUUCCGGGUGGCGUGAGUUGCGAAACUAUUCUGCAUUGUUUCAAAUGUAGACCAAACUCGUAACUCAAAUAUUCUCCUCCACGAUCAGAUCGUAGAAACUUUAUUUUCUUGUUACGAUGAUUUUCAACUUCACUCUGAAAUUCUUUGAACUUUUCAAAUGUUUCAGACUUGUGUUUCAUUAAGUAGAUAUACCCAUAUCUGCUCAAAUCAUCUGUGAAGGUGAGAAAAUAACGAUAUCCGCCACGAGCCUCAACAUUCAUUGGACCACAUACAUCUGUAUGUAUGAUUUCCAACAAAUCUGUUGCUCUCUCCAUAGUACCGGAGAACGGUGUUUUGGUCAUCUUGCCCAUGAGGCACGGUUCGCAAGUGCCAAGUGAUUCAUAAUCAAGUGACUCCAAAAGUCUAUCAGUAUGGAGUUUCUUCAUGCAUUUUAUACCGAUAUGACCUAAACGGCAGUGCCACAAAUAAGUUGCACUUUCAUUAUCAACUCUGCAUCUUUUGGCUUCAACAUUAUGAAUAUGUGUAUCACUACUAUCGAGAUUCAUCAAAAAUAGACCACUCUUCAAGGGUGCAUGACCAUAAAAGAUGUUACUCAUAUAAAUAGAACAACCAUUAUUCUCUGAUUUAAAUGAAUAACCGUCUCGCAUCAAACAAGAUCCAGAUAUAAUGUUCAUGCUCAACGCUGGCACCAAAUAACAAUUAUUUAGGUCUAAAACUAAUCCCGAAGGUAGAUGUAGAGGUAGCGUGCCGACCGCGAUCACAUCGACUUUGGAACCAUUUCCCACGCGCAUCGUAACCUCGUCCUUUGCUAGUGUCCGCUUAAUCCGUAGUCCCUGUUUCGAGUUGCAAAUAUUAGCAACAGAACCAGUAUCAAAUACCCAGGUGCUACUGCGAGCUCUAGUAAGGUACACAUCAAUGUAUAUCAUAUAUACCUUUGUUCACCUUGCCAUCCUUCUUAUCCGCCAAAUACUUGGGGCAGUUCCGCUUCCAGUGACCAGUCUGCUUGCAGUAGAAGCACUCAGUUUCAGGAUUAGGUCCAGACUUGGGCUUCUUCUCCUGAGCAGCAACUUGCUUGCUGUUCUUCUUGAAGUUCCCCUUCUUCUUCCCUUUGCCCUUUUUCUUGAAACUAGUGGUCUUAUUGACCAUCAACACUUGAUGCUCCUUCUUGAUUUCUACCUCCGCAGCCUUUAGCAUUGCGAAGAGCUCGGGCAUAGUCUUUACUAACCCUUGCAUAUUAUAGUUCAUCACGAAGCCUUUGUAGCUUGGUGGCAGUGAUUGAAGAAUUCUGUCAAUGACACAAUCAUCCGGAAGAUUAACUCCCAGCUAACUCAAGUGAUUGUAAUACCCAGACAUUCUGAGUAUGUGCUCACUGACAGACCCAUUCUCCUCCAUUUUGCAGCUAUAGAACUUAUUGGAGACUUCAUAUCUCUCAAUCCGGGCAUUCUGUUGGAAUAUCAACUUCAACUCCUGGAACAUCUCAUAUGCUCCAUGGUUCUCAAACCGAUGUUGAAGUCCCGGUUCUAAGCCGUAAAGCAUGGCACACUGAACUAUCGAGUAGUCAUCAGCUUUGCUCUGCCAGACGUUCAUAACAUCUGGCGUUGCUCCAGCAGCAGGCCUGGCACCUAGUGGUGCAUCCAGGACGUAACUCUUCUGUGCAGCAAUGAGGAUAAUCCUCAAGUUACGGACCCAGUCCGUGUAAUUGCUACCAUCAUCUUUCAACUUUGCUUUCUCAAGGAACGCAUUAAAAUUCAACGGAACAACAGCACGAGCCAUCUAUCUACAAUCAACAUAAACAAGCAAGAUACUAUCAGGGACUAAGUUCAUGAUAAAUUUAAGUUCAAUUAAUCAUAUUACUUAAGAACUCCCACUUAGAUAGACAUCCCUCUAAUCAUCUAAGUGAUCACGUGAUCCAAAUAAAACUAAGCCAUAACCGAUCAUCACGUGAAAUGGAUUAGUUCUCAAUGGUGAACAUCAUCAUGUUGAUCAUAUCUACUAUAUGAUUCACGCUCGACCUUUCGGUCUCCGUGUUCCGAGGCCAUAUCUGCAUAUGCUAGGCUCGUCAAGUAUAACCCGAGUAUUCUGCGUGUGCAAAACUGGCUUGCACCCGUUGUAGAUGGACGUAGAGCUUAUCACACCCGAUCAUCACGUGGUGUCUGGGCACGACGAACUUUGGCAACGGUGCAUACUCGGGGAGAACACUUCUUGAUAAUUUAGUGAGAGAUCAUCUUAUAAUGCUACCGUCAAUCAAAGCAAGAUAAUAUGCAUAAAAAGAUAAACAUCACAUGCAAAUCAAUAUAAGUGAUAUGAUAUGGUCAUCAUCAUCUUGUGCUUCAUGAUCUCCAUCUCUGCAGCACCAUCAUGAUCACCAUCGUCAGCGGCGCGACACCUUGAUCUCCAUCGUAGCAUCGUUGUCGUCUCGCCAAUCUUAUGCUUCUACGACUAUUGCUACCGCUUAGUGAUAAAGUAAAGCAUUACAGGGCGAUUGCAUUGCAUACAAUAAAGCGACAACCAUAUGGCUCCUGCCAGUUGCCGAUAACUCGGUUACAAAACAUGAUCAUCUCAUACAAUAAAAUUUAGCAUCAUGUCUUGACCAUAUCACAUCACAACAUGCCCUGCAAAAACAAGUUAGACGUCCUCUACUUUGUUUGUUGCAAGUUUUACGUGGCUGCUACGAGGUUAAGCAAGAACUCAUCUUACCUACGCAUCAAAACCACAACGAUAGUUUGUCAAAUAGACUCCGUUUUAACCUUCUCAAGGACCGGGCGUAGCCACACUUGGUUCAACUAAAGUUGGUGAGAUGUCUCCCGCAAGCCAUCUGUGUGCAAAGCACGUCGAGGGAACCGGUCUCGCGUAAGCGUACGCGUAAGGUUGGUCCGGGUCAUCUCAUCCAACAAUACCGCUGAACCAAAGUAUGACAUGCUGGUAGGCAGUAUGACUUGUAUCGUCCACAACUCACUUGUGUUCUACUCGUGCAUAUAACAUCAAACCAUAAAAACCUAGGCUCAGAUGCCACUGUUGGGGAACGUAGUAAUUUCAAAAAAAUUCCUACGCACACUCAAGAUCAUGGUGAUGCACAGCAACGAGGGGGAGAUGUUGUCUACAUACCCUUGUAGACCCGAAGCGGAAGCGAUCACAACGUAGAGGAAGUAGUCGUACGUUCUCCUCGCGAUCCGACCGAUCCCGGCGCCGUUACUCCGGCGCCCCCGAGUUCUUGGCACACGUACAGCUCGAUGACACUCCUCGGGCUUCGAUCCAGCAAAGCUCCGGAGAGAGAGUUUCGUCAGCACGACGGCGUGGUGACGAUCUUGAUGUUCUACUAUCGCAGGGCUUCGCCUAAGCACUGCAACGGUACGAUCGAGGUGGAAUAUGGCGGAGGGGGGCACCGCACACGGCUAAGGAACGAUCUCAAGGAUCAACUUGUGUGUCUUGGGGUGCCCCCUGCCCCUGUAUAUAAAGGAGCAAGGGGAGGGGGCCGGCCGGCCACAAGGGGCGCGCCUAGGGAGUCCUACUCCCACCGGGAGGAGGAUUCCCCCCCCCCAAUCCUAGUCCAACUAGGUUUCCAGAGGUGGAAAGAGAGAGAGAGAGAGGGGCGCCGCCCCUUCUCCUAGUCCUACUAGGACUAGGGAAGGGGGGAAGUGGCGCGCGGCCCCUUUGACCUGCCCUUCCUCCUUUUCCACUAAGGCCCAUGAGGCCCAUUAUGCUCCCGGGGGGUUCCGGUAACCUCCCGGUACUCCGGUAAAUUCCCGUUUUCACUCGGAACCAUUCCGAUGUCCAAACAUAGGCUUCCAAUAUAUCAAUCUUUACGUCUCGACCAUUUCGAGACUCCUCGUCAUGUCCGUGAUCACAUCCGGGACUCCGAACUCCUUCGGUACAUCAAAAUACACAAACUCAUAAUAACCGUCAUCGAAACCUUAAGCGUGCGGACCCUACGGUUCGAGAACAAUGUAGACAUGACCGAGACACGUCUCCGGUCAAUAACCAACAGCGCGACCUGGAUGCCCAUAUUGGCUCCUACAUAUUCUACGAAGAUCUUUAUCGGUCAGACCGCAUAACAACAUACGUUAGUUCCCUUUGUCAUCGGUAUGUUACUUACCCGAGAUUCGAUCGUCGGUAUCCAAUACCUAGUUCAAUCUCGUUACCGGUAAGUCUCUUUACUCGUUCCGUAAUACAUCAUCUCACAACUAACUCAUUAGUUGUAAUGCUUGCAAGGCUUAUGUGAUGUGCAUUACCGAGAGGGCCCAGAGAUACCUCUCCGACUAUCGGAGUGACAAAUCCUAAUCUCGAAAUACGCCAACCCAACAUCUACCUUUGGAGACACCUGUAGUACUCCUUUAUAAUCACCCAGUUACGUUGUGACGUUUGGUAGCACCCAAAGUGUUCCUCCGGUAAACGGGAGUUGCAUAAUCUCAUAGUCAUAGGAACAUGUAUAAGUUAUGGAUGAAAGCAAUAGCAACACACUAAACGAUCAGGUGCUAAGCUAAUGGAAAUGGGUCAUGUCAAUCAGAUCAUUCAACCAAUGAUGUGACCUCGUUAAUCAAAUGACAACUCCUUUGUCUAUGGUUAGGAAACUUAACCAUCUUUGAUUAAUGAGCUAGUCAAGUAGAGGCAUACUAGUGACACUCUGUUUGUCUAUGUAUUCACACAUGUAUUAUGUUUCCGGUUAAUACAAUUCUAGCAGGAAUAAUAAACAUUUAUCAUGAAAUAAGGAAAUAAAUAAUAACUUUAUUAUUGCCUCUAGGGCAUAUUUCCUUCAACAACUAUCGUGAUCAUUUCGGUGAUACUUUCAUGGAGGAUGAUGCUGAAGGUGGGGAAGGGUUAGGUGAAGGUGAAGAAGAGGCACAUGAUGAGCCCGCUGAUGAUCUUGGUCGGACCAUUGCUGAUGCACGGAGACGCUGCGAAACUGACAAGGAGAGGGAGAAUUUGGAUCGCAUGUUAGAGGAUCACAAAAAGUCGUUGUAUCCAGGAUGCGAUAAUAGUCUGAAAAAGCUGGGCUGCACACUGGAUUUGCUAAAAUGGAAGGGACAGGAAGGUGUAGGUGACUCAUCAUUUGAAAAUUUGCUGAAAAUCUUGAAGAAUAUGUUGCCGAAGAAUAACGAGUUGCCCGCCAGUACGUACGAAGCAAAGAAGGUUGUCUGCCCUCUAGGUUUAGAGGUUCAGAAGAUACAUGCAUGCAUUAAUGACUGCAUCCUCUACCGCGGUGAAUACGAGAAUUUGAAUGAAUGCCCUGUAUGCACUGCAUUGCGUUAUAAGAUCAGAGGCGAUGACCCUGGUGACGAUGUUGAGGGCGAGAAACCCAGGAAGAGGGUUCCCGCCAAGGUGAUGAGGUAUGCUCCUAUAAUACCACGGUUGAAACGUCUGUUCGGUUGAAACGUCUGUUCAUGAACAAAAAGCAUGCCAAGUUGUUGCGAUGGCACAAAGAGGACCGUAAGUCCGACGGGCAGUCGAGACACACCGCUGAUGGAACGCAAUGGAGAAAGAUCGACAGAGUUUUCAAAGAUUUUGCAGCUGACGCAAGGAACUUAAGAUUUGGUCUAAAUACUGAUGGCAUUAAUCCUUUUGGCGAGCAGAGCUCCAGCCAUAGCACCUGGCCCGUGACUCUAUGCAUCUACAACCUUCCUCCUUGGUUGUGCAUGAAGCGGAAGUUCAUUAUGAUGCCAAUUCUCAUCCAAGGCCCUAAGCAACCCGGUAACGACAUCGAUGUGUACCUAAGGCCAUUAGUUGAAGAACUUUUACAGUUGUGGGCGAAACCUGGUGUACGUGUCUGGGAUGAGCACAAAGGAGAGGAAUUUGACCUACGAGCGUUGCUUUUUGUAACCAUCAACGAUUGGCCUGCUCUCAGUAACCUUUCGGGACAGACAAAUAAGGGAUACAGAUAUAAUGUUCAUGCUCAACGCUGGCACCAAAUAACAAUUAUUUAGGUCUAAAACUAAUCCCGAAGGUAGAUGUAGAGGUAGCGUGCCGACCGCGAUCACAUCGACUUUGGAACCAUUUCCCACGCGCAUCGUCACCUCGUCCUUUCCUAGUGUCCGCUUAAUCCGUAGUCCCUGUUUCGAGUUGCAAAUAUUAGCAACAGAACCAGUAUCAAAUACCCAGGUGCUACUGCGAGCUCUAGUAAGGUACACAUCAAUGUAUAUCAUAUAUACCUUUGUUCACCUUGCCAUCCUUCUUAUCCGCCAAAUACUUGGGGCAGUUCCGCUUCCAGUGACCAGUCUGCUUGCAGUAGAAGCACUCAGUUUCAGGCUUAGGUCCAGACUUGGGCUUCUUCUCCUGAGCAGCAACUUGCUUGCUGUUCUUCUUGAAGUUCCCCUUCUUCUUCCCUUUGCCCUUUUUCUUGAAACUAGUGGUCUUAUUGACCAUCAACACUUGAUGCUCCUUCUUGAUUUCUACCUCCGCAGCCUUUAGCAUUGCGAAGAGCUCGGGCAUAGUCUUUACUAACCCUUGCAUAUUAUAGUUCAUCACGAAGCCUUUGUAGCUUGGUGGCAGUGAUUGAAGAAUUCUGUCAAUGACACAAUCAUCCGGAAGAUUAACUCCCAGCUAACUCAAGUGAUUGUAAUACCCAGACAUUCUGAGUAUGUGCUCACUGACAGACCCAUUCUCCUCCAUUUUGCAGCUAUAGAACUUAUUGGAGACUUCAUAUCUCUCAAUCCGGGCAUUCUGUUGGAAUAUCAACUUCAACUCCUGGAACAUCUCAUAUGCUCCAUGGUUCUCAAACCGACGUUGAAGUCCCGGUUCUAAGCCGUAAAGCAUGGCACACUGAACUAUCGAGUAGUCAUCAGCUUUGCUCUCCCAGACGUUCAUAACAUCUGGCGUUGCUCCAGCAGCAGGCCUGGCACCUAGCGGUGCAUCCAGGACGUAACUCUUCUGUGCAGCAAUGAGGAUAAUCCUCAAGUUACGGACCCAGUCCGUGUAAUUGCUACCAUCAUCUUUCAACUUUGCUUUCUCAAGGAACGCAUUAAAAUUCAACGGAACAACAGCACGAGCCAUCUAUCUACAAUCAACAUAAACAAGCAAGAUACUAUCAGGGACUAAGUUCAUGAUAAAUUUAAGUUCAAUUAAUCAUAUUACUUAAGAACUCCCACUUAGAUAGACAUCCCUCUAAUCAUCUAAGUGAUCACGUGAUCCAAAUAAAACUAAGCCAUAACCGAUCAUCACGUGAAAUGGAUUAGUUCUCAAUGGUGAACAUCAUCAUGUUGAUCAUAUCUACUAUAUGAUUCACGCUCGACCUUUCGGUCUCCGUGUUCCGAGGCCAUAUCUGCAUAUGCUAGGUUCGUCAUGUAUAACCCGAGUAUUCUGCGUGUGCAAAACUGGCUUGCACCCGUUGUAGAUGGACGUAGAGCUUAUCACACCCGAUCAUCACGUGGUGUCUGGGCACGACGAACUUUGGCAACGGUGCAUACUCGGGGAGAACACUUCUUGAUAAUUUAGUGAGAGAUCAUCUUAUAAUGCUACCGUCAAUAAAAGCAAGAUAAUAUGCAUAAAAAGAUAAACAUCACAUGCAAAUCAAUAUAAGUGAUAUGAUAUGGUCAUCAUCAUCUUGUGCUUCAUGAUCUCCAUCUCUGCAGCACCAUCAUGAUCACCAUCGUCACCGGCGGGACACCUUGAUCUCCAUCGUAGCAUCGUUGUCGUCUCGCCAAUCUUAUGCUUCUACGACUAUCGCUACCGCUUAGUGAUAAAGUAAAGCAUUACAGGGCGAUUGCAUUGCAUACAAUAAAGCGACAACCAUAUGGCUCCUGCCAGUUGCCGAUAACUCGGUUACAAAACAUGAUCAUCUCAUACAAUAAAAUUUAGCAUCAUGUCUUGACCAUAUCACAUCACAACAUGCCCUGCAAAAACAAGUUAGACGUCCUCUACUUUGUUUGUUGCAAGUUUUACGUGGCUGCUACGAGCUUAAGCAAGAACUCAUCUUACCUACGCAUCAAAACCACAACGAUAGUUUGUCAAAUAGACUCCAUUUUAACCUUCUCAAGGACCGGGCGUAGCCACACUUGGUUCAACUAAAGUUGGUGAGAUGUCUCCCGCAAGCCAUCUGUGUGCAAAGCACGUCGAGGGAACCGGUCUCGCGUAAGCGUACGCGUAAGGUUGGUCCGGGUCAUCUCAUCCAACAAUACCGCUGAACCAAAGUAUGACAUGCUGGUAGGCAGUAUGACUUGUAUCGUCCACAACUCACUUGUGUUCUACUCGUGCAUAUAACAUCAAACCAUAAAAACCUAGGCUCGGAUGCCACUGUUGGGGAACGUAGUAAUUUCAAAAAAAUUCCUACGCACACUCAAGAUCAUGGUGAUGCACAGCAACGAGGGGGAGAUGUUGUCUACAUACCCUUGUAGACCCGAAGCGGAAGCGAUCACAACGUAGAGGAAGUAGUCGUACGUUCUCCUCGCGAUCCGACCGAUCCCGGCGCCGUUACUCCGGCGCCCCCGAGUUCUUGGCACACGUACAGCUCGAUGACACUCCUCGGGCUUCGAUCCAGCAAAGCUCCGGAGAGAGAGUUUCGUCAGCACGACGGCGUGGUGACGAUCUUGAUGUUCUACUAUCGCAGGGCUUCGCCUAAGCACUGCAACGGUACGAUCGAGGUGGAAUAUGGUGGAGGGGGGCACCGCACACGGCUAAGGAACGAUCUCAAGGAUCAACUUGUGUGUCCUGGGGUGCCCCCUGCCCCUGUAUAUAAAGGAGCAAGGGGAGGGGGCCGGCCGGCCACAAGGGGCGCGCCUAGGGAGUCCUACUCCCACCGGGAGGAGGAUUCCCCCCCCCCCCAAUCCUAGUCCAACUAGGUUUCCAGAGGUGGAAAGAGAGAGAGAGAGGGGCGCCGCCCCUUCUCCUAGUCCUACUAGGACUAGGGAAGGGGGGAAGUGGCGCGCGGCCCCUUUGGCCUGCCCUUCCUCCUUUAUCACUAAGGCCCAUGAGGCCCAUUAUGCUCCCGGGGGGUUCCGGUAACCUCCCGGUACUCCGGUAAAUUCCCGUUUUCACUCGGAACCAUUCCGAUGUCCAAACAUAGGCUUCCAAUAUAUCAAUCUUUACGUCUCGACCAUUUCGAGACUCCUCGUCAUGUCCGUGAUCACAUCCGGGACUCCGAACUCCUUCGGUACAUCAAAAUACACAAACUCAUAAUAACCGUCAUCGAAACCUUAAGCGUGCGGACCCUACGGUUCGAGAACAAUGUAGACAUGACCGAGACACGUCUCUGGUCAAUAACCAACAGCGCGACCUGGAUGCCCAUAUUGGCUCCUACAUAUUCUACGAAGAUCUUUAUCGGUCAGACCGCAUAACAACAUACGUUAGUUCCCUUUGUCAUCGGUAUGUUACUUACCCGAGAUUCGAUCGUCGGUAUCCAAUACCUAGUUCAAUCUCGUUACCGGUAAGUCUCUUUACUCGUUCCGUAAUACAUCAUCUCACAACUAACUCAUUAGUUGUAAUGCUUGCAAGGCUUAUGUGAUGUGCAUUACCGAGAGGGCCCAGAGAUACCUCUCCGACUAUCGGAGUGACAAAUCCUAAUCUCGAAAUACGCCAACCCAACAUCUACCUUUGGAGUGUUGGGAACGUUGCAGAAAAUAAAAUUUUUCCUACGGUUUCACCAAGAUCCAUCUAUGAGUUCAUCUAAGCAACGAGUCAUGGGAGAGAGAUUGCAUCUACAUACCACUUGCAGAUUGCGUGCGGAAGCGUUCAAGGGGAUGGUGAUGACGUAGUCGUACUCGUCGUGAUUCGAAUCACCGAUGACCAAGUGCUGAACGGACAGCACCUCCGCGUUCAACACACGUACGGGACGAGCGACGUCUCCUCCUUCUUGAUCCAGCAAGGGGAAGGAGAGGUUGAGGAAGAAGACUCCAACGGCAGCACGACGGCGUGGUGCAGUUGGUGCAGCAGUACUCCGACAGGGCUUCGCCAAGCACGUACGGAGGAGGAGAGGUGUUGGGGAGGGGAGGGGCUGCGCCUUGACUUGUGUAUGCAGCCCUCCCCUCGCCCCUCUAUUUAUAGGGGAAGGGCAAGGGGGGCCGGCCCCCUCCAGAUGGGAUCCAGAGGGGGGGCGGCGGCCAAGGGGGAGGGGGCUUGCCCCCCAAGCAAGGGGGGCGCCCCCUUUAGGGUUCCCCAAACCCUAGGGCGCAUGGGCCCUUGGGGGGGAGGCGCACCAGCCCACUUUGGGCUGGUUCCCUCCCCUUUGCAGCCCAUGAGCCUCUCCGGGAGAGGUGGCCCCUCCCGGUGGACCCCCGAGGCCCCUCCGGUGGCCCCGGUAUAAUACCGAUAUGCCCUCGAACUAUUCCGGUGUCCGUAUGACAACUUCCCAUAUAUAAAUCUUUACCUCCGGACCAUUCCGGAACUCCUCGUGACGUCCGGGAUCUCAUCCGGGACUCCGAACAACAUUCGGUAAUCACAUACAAGUCUUCCUAAUAACCCUAGCGUCACCGAACCUUAAGUGUGUAGACCCUACGGGUUCGGGAGACAUGCAGACAUGACCGAGACGACUCUCGGGCAAUAACCAACAGCGGGAUCUGGAUACCCAUGUUGGCUCCCACAUGUUCCUCGAUGAUGUCAUCGGAUGAACCACGAUGUCGAGGGUUCAAGCAACCCCGUAAACUAUUCCCUUUGUCAAUCGGUAGGUUACUUGCCCGAGACUCGAUCGUCGGUAUCCCAAUACCUCGUUUAGUCUCGUUACCGGCAAGUCACUUUACUCGUACCGUAAUGCAUGAUCCUGUGACCAAACACUUGGUCACUUUGAGCUCAUUAUGAUGAUGCAUUACCGAGUGGGCCCGGUGAUACCUCUCCGUCAUACGGAGUGACAAAUCCCAGUCUCGAUCCGUGUCAACCCAACAGACACUUUCAGAGAUACCUGUAGUGCACCUUUAUAGUCACCCAGUUACGUUGUGACGUUUGGUACACCCAAAGCAUUCCUACGGUAUCCGGGAGUUACACGAUCUCAUGUUCUAAGGAAAAGAUACUCGACAUUGGAAAGCUCUAGCAAAACGAACUACACGAUCUUGUGCUAUGCUUAGUAUUGGGUCUUGUCCAUCACAUCAUUCUCCUAAUGAUGUGAUCUCGUUAUCAAUUACAUCCCUAUGUCCAUAGCCAGGAAAUCAUGACUAUCUGUUGAUCAACGAGCUAGUCAACUAGAGGCUUACUAGGGACACAUAUUGUCGUCUAUGCAUUCACACAUGUAUUAUGAUUUCCGAACAAUACAAUUAUAGCAUGAACAAUAGACAAUUAUCAUGAACAAGGAAAUAUAAUAAUCCAUUUAUUAUUGCCUCUAGGGCAUAUUUCCAACAGUCUCCCACUUGCACUAGAGACAAUAGUCUAGUUACAUUGUGAUGAAUCGAACACCCAUAGAGUUCUGGUGCUGAUCAUGUUUUGCCCUAGGGAGAGGUUUAGUCAAUGGAUCUGCGACAUUCAGAUCCGUGUGUACUUUACAAAUUUCUAUGUCUCCAUCUUGAACAUUUUCACGGAUGGAGUUGAAGCGACGCUUGAUGUGCCUGGUCUUCUUGUGAAACCUGGGCUCCUUGGCAAGUGCAAUAGCUCCAGUGUUGUCACAGAAGAGUUUGAUCGGCCCCGACGCAUUGGGUAUGACUCCUAGGUCGGUGAUGAACUCCUUCACCCAUAUUGCCUCAUGCGCUGCCUCCGAGGCUGCCAUGUAUUCCGCUUCACAUGUAGAUCCCGCCACGACGCUCUGCUUGCAGCUGCACCAGCUCACUGCUCCACUAUUCAACAUAUACACGUAUCCGGUUUGUGACUUAGAGUCAUCCAGAUCUGUGUCGAAGCUAGCAUCGACGUAACCCUUUACGACGAGCUCUUCGUCACCUCCAUAAACGAGAAACAUGUCCUUAGUCCUUUUCAGGUACUUAAGAAUAUUCUUGACCGCUGUCCAGUGUUCCUUGCCGGGAUUACUUUGGUACCUACCUACCAAACUUACGGCAAGGUUUACAUCAGGUCUGGUACACAGCAUGGCAUACAUAAUGGAUCCUAUGGCUGAAGCAUAGGGGAUGACACUCAUCUCUUGUUUAUCCUUUGCCGUGGUCGGGCAUUGAGCCGAGCUCAAUUUCACACCUUGCAAUACAGGCAAGAACCCUUUCUUGGACUGAUCCAUUUUGAACUUCUUCAAAAUCUUAUCAAGGUACGUGCUUUGCGAAAGACCUAUGAGGCGUCUUGAUCUAUCUCUAUAGAUCUUGAUGCCUAAUGUGUAAGCAGCUUCUCCAAGGUCCUUCAUUGAAAAACACUUGUUCAAAUAGGCCUUUAUGCUUUCCAAGAAUUCUAUAUCAUUUCCCAUCAAUAGUAUGUCAUCCACAUAUAAUAUGAGAAAUGCUACGGAGCUCCCACUCACUUUCUUGUAAACGCAGGCUUCUCCAUAAGUCUGCAUAAACCCAAACGCUUUGAUCAUCUCAUCAAAGCGAAUGUUCCAACUCCGAGAUGCUUGCACCAGCCCAUAAAUGGAUCGCUGGAGCUUGCACACCUUGUUAGCAUUCUUAGGAUCGACAAAACCUUCCGGCUGCAUCAUAUACAGUUCUUCCUUAAGAUAGCCGUUAAGGAAUGCCGUUUUGACGUCCAUUUGCCAUAUCUCAUAAUCAUAGUAUGCGGCAAUUGCUAACAUGAUUCGGACGGACUUCAGCUUCGCUACGGGAGAGAAAGUCUCGUCGUAGUCAAUCCCUUGAACUUGCCGAUAACCCUUAGCGACAAGUUGAGCUUUAUAGAUGGUAACAUUUCCAUCCGCGUCCGUCUUCUUCUUGAAGAUCCAUUUAUUUUCUAUCGCUCGCCGAUCAUCGGGCAAGUCUGUCAAAGUCCAUACUUUGUUUUCAUACAUGGAUCCUAUCUCGGAUUUCAUGGCUUCUAACCAUUUGUUGGAAUCCGGGCCCGCCAUCGCUUCUUCAUAGUUCGAAGGUUCCCCGUUGUCCAACAACAUGAUUUCCAGGACAGGGUUGCCGUACCACUCUGGUGCGGAACGUGUCCUUGUGGACCUACGAAGUUCAGUGGGAGCUUGGUCCGAAGUAUCUUGAUCAUCAUCAUUAACCUCCUCUCUAACUGGAGUAGGCAACACAGGAACAUUUUCUUGCGCUGCGCUAUUCUCUGUUUCAAGAGGCAGUACUUCAUCAAGCUCCACUUUCCUCCCACUUACUUCUUUCGAGAGAAACUCUUUCUCCAGAAAGGUUCCGUUCUUGGCAACAAAGAUCUUGCCCUCGGAUCUUAAGUAGAAGGUAUACCCUAUGGUUUCCUUAGGGUAUCCUAUGAAGACGCACUUUUCCGAUUUGGGUUCGAGCUUUUCAGGUUGUAGUUUCUUGACAUAAGCCUCGCAUCCCCAAACUUUUAGAAACGACAGCUUAGGUUUCUUUCCAAACCAUAAUUCAUACGGUGUCGUCUCAACGGAUUUAGACGGUGCCCUAUUUAAAGUGAAUGUAGCUGUCUCUAGAGCGUAUCCCCAAAAUGAUAGCGGUAAAUCGGUAAGAGACAUCAUUGAUCGCACCAUAUCCAAUAAAGUGCGAUUACGAUGUUCGGACACACCAUUACGCUGAGGUGUUCCAGGCGGCGUUAGUUGUGAAACUAUUCCACAUUUUCUUAAGUGUGCGCCAAAUUCGUGACUCAAGUAUUCUCCUCCACGAUCUGAUCGUAGAAACUUGAUUCUUCUGUCACGUUGAUUUUCAACCUCACUCUGAAACUCCUUGAACUUUUCAAAGGUCUCAGACUUGUGUUUCAUUAAGUAGACAUAGCCAUAUCUACUCAAAUCAUCAGUGAGUGUGAGAACAUAACGAUAUCCUCCGCGAGCCUCAACGCUCAUUGGACCGCACACAUCAGUAUGUAUAAUUUCCAAUAAGUUGGUUGCUCGCUCCAUUGUCCCGGAGAACGGAGUCUUGGUCAUUUUGCCCAUGAGGCAUGGUUCGCAUGUGUCAAACGAUUCAUAAUCGAGAGACUCUAAAAGUCCAUCAGCAUGGAGCUUCUUCAAGCGCUUGACACCAAUGUGACCAAGGCGGCAGUGCCACAAGUAUGUGGGACUAUCGUUAUUAACUUUGCAUCUUUUGGUAUUCACACUAUGAAUAUGUGUAACAUCACGUACGAGAUUCAUUAAGAAUAAACCAUUAACCAUCGGAGCAUGACCAUAAAACAUAUCACUCAUAUAAAUAGAACAACCAUUAUUCUCGGAUUUAAAUGAGUAGCCAUCUCGUAUUAAACGAGAUCCAGAUACAAUGUUCAUGCUCAAACUUGGCACCAAAUAACAAUUAUUGAGGUUUAAAACUAAUCCCGUAGGUAAAUGUAGAGGUAGCGUGCCGACGGCGAUCACAUCGACCUUGGAACCAUUCCCGACGCGCAUCGUCACCUCGUCCUUCGCCAGUCUCCGUUUAUUCCGCAGCUCCUGUUUUGAGUUACAAAUAUGAGCAACGGCACCGGUAUCAAAUACCCAGGAGCUACUACGAGCACUGGUAAGGUACACAUCAAUAACAUUUAUAUCACAUAUACCUUUAGUGUUGCCGGCCUUCUUAUCCGCUAAGUACUUGGGGCAAUUCCGCUUCCAGUGACCACUUCCCUUGCAAUAAAAACACUCAGUUUCAGGUUUGGGUCCAUUCUUUGACUUCUUCCUGGCAACUGAUUUACCAGGUGCGGCAACCUCCUUGCCGUCCUUCUUGAAGUUCUUCUUACCCUUGCCUUUCUUGAACUUAGUGGUUUUAUUCACCAACAACACUUGAUGUUCCUUUUUGAUCUCCCCUUCUGCAGAUUUCAGCAUUGAAUACAACUCGGGAAUGGUCUUCACCAUCCCCUGCAUGUUGUAAUUCAUCACGAAGCUCUUGUAGCUAGGUGGGAGCGACUGAAGGAUUCUGUCAAUGACCGCCUCAUCUGGGAGAUUAACUUCCAGCUGAGUCAAGCGGUUGUGCAACCCAGACAUCUUGAGAAUGUGUUCACUGACAGAACUAUUUUCCUCCAUCUUGCAGCUAAAGAACUUGUCGGAGACUUCAUAUCUCUCGAACCGGGCAUGAGCUUGGAAAAUCAAUUUCAGCUCCUCGAACAUCUCAUAUGCUCCGUGCUUCUCAAAACGCUUUUGGAGCCCCGGUUCUAAGCUGUAAAGCAUGCCGCACUGAACGAGGGAGUAAUCAUCAGCGCGAGACUGCCAAGCAUUCAUAAUGUCUUGGCUCUCUGGGAUGGGUGCUCUGCCAAGCGGUGCUUCUAGGACAUAAUCUUUCUUGGCUGCUAUGAGGAUGAUCCUCAGGUUCCGGACCCAGUCCGAAUAGUUGCUGCCAUCAUCUUUCAGCUUAGUUUUCUCUAGGAACGCGUUGAAGUUGAGGUUGACAUUACCGUGGGCCAUUUGAUCUACAAGACAUGUUGUAAAGAUUUAGACUAAGUUCAUGAUAAUUAAGUUCAUCUAAUCAAAUUAAUGAAUGAACUCCCACUCAGAUUUGACAUCCCUCCAGUCAUCUAAGUGAUACAUGAUCCGAGUCAACUAGGCCGUGUCCGAUCAUCACGUGAGACGGACUAGUCAUCAUCGGUGAACAUCUCCAUGUUGAUCGUAUCUUCUAUACGACUCAUGUUCGACCUUUCGGUCCUCCGUGUUCCGAGGCCAUGUCUGUACAUGCUAGGCUCGUCAAUCCAACCUAAGUGUAUUGCGUGUGUAAAUCUGGCUUACACCCGUUGUAUGCGAACGUAAGGACCUAUCACACCCGAUCAUCACGUGGUGCUUCGGAACGACGAACCUUAGCAACGGUGCACAGUUCGGGAGAACACAAUUUUGAUAUUUUAAUGAGGGAUCAUCUUAUUUACUACCGUCGUUCUAAGCAAACAAGAUGCACAAAUAUAAUAAAACAUCACAUGCAAUUAUAUAGUAGUGACAUGAUAUGGCCAUCAUCACAUAGCUCCUUUGAUCUCCAUCUUGGGGCUCCAUGAUCAUCUUGUCACCGGCACGACACCAUGAUCUCCAUCAUCAUGAUCUCCAUCAUUGUAUCUCCAUGGAGUUGUUCGCCAACUAUUACUACUACUACUAUGGCUAACACGUUAGCAAUAAAGUAAAGUAAUUUACAUGGCGACACGCAGGUCAUAAAAGAAUAAUGACAACUCCUAUGGCUCCUGCCGGUUGUCAUACUCAUCGACAUGCAAGUCGUGAUUCCUAUUACAAUAACAAGAUCAUCUCAUACAUCACAUGAUUCAUCACAACUUCUGGCCAUAUCACAUCACAAAGCACUUGCUGCAAAAACAAGUUAGACGUCCUCUAAUUGUUGUUGCAUGUUUUUACGUGGCUGUUAUAGGUUGCUAGCAAGAACGUUUCUUACCUACGUUAAAACCACAACGUGAAUUAUCAAUCUCUAUUUACCCUUCAUAAGGACCCUGUUCAUCGAAUCCGGUCCAACUAAAGUGGGAGAGACAGACACCCGCCAGCCACCUUAUGCAACUAGUGCACGUCAGUCGGUGGAACCGGUCUCACGUAAGCGUACGUGUAAGGUUGGUCCGGGCCGCUUCAUCCCACAAUACCGCUGAACCAAGAUAAGACUAGUAACGGCAAGAAGAAUUGACAAUUCGACGCCCACAACUACUUUGCGUUCUACUCGUGCAAUAGAGAACUACGCAUAGACCUAGCUCAUGAUGCCACUGUUGGGAACGUUGCAGAAAAUAAAAUUUUUCCUACGGUUUCACCAAGAUCCAUCUAUGAGUUCAUCUAAGCAACGAGUCAUGGGAGAGAGAUUGCAUCUACAUACCACUUGCAGAUUGCGUGCGGAAGCGUUCAAGGGGAUGGUGAUGACGUAGUCGUACUCGUCGUGAUUCGAAUCACCGAUGACCAAGUGCUGAACGGACAGCACCUCCGCGUUCAACACACGUACGGGACGAGCGACAUCUCCUCCUUCUUGAUCCAGCAAGGGGAAGGAGAGGUUGAGGAAGAAGACUCCAACGGCAGCACGACGGCGUGGUGCAGUUGGUGCAGCAGUACUCCGACAGGGCUUCGCCAAGCACGUACGGAGGAGGAGAGGUGUUGGGGAGGGGAGGGGCUGCGCCUUGACUUGUGUAUGCAGCCCUCCCCUCGCCCCUCUAUUUAUAGGGGAAGGGCAAGGGGGGCCGGCCCCCUCCAGAUGGGAUCCAGAGGGGGGGCGGUGGCCAAGGGGGAGGGGGCUUGCCCCCCAAGCAAGGGGGGCGCCCCCUUUAGGGUUCCCCAAACCCUAGGGCGCAUGGGCCCUUGGGGGGGGGGGAGGCGCACCAGCCCACUUUGGGCUGGUUCCCUCCCCUUUGCAGCCCAUGAGCCCCUCCGGGAGAGGUGGCCCCUCCCGGUGGACCCCCGAGGCCCCUCCGGUGGCCCCGGUAUAAUACCGAUAUGCCCUCGAACUAUUCCGGUGUCCGUAUGACAACUUCCCAUAUAUAAAUCUUUACCUCCGGACCAUUCCGGAACUCCUCGUGACGUCCGGGAUCUCAUCCGGGACUCCGAACAACAUUCGGUAAUCACAUACAAGUCUUCCUUAUAACCCUAGCGUCACCGAACCUUAAGUGUGUAGACCCUACGGGUUCGGGAGACAUGCAGACAUGACCGAGACGACUCUCGGGCAAUAACCAACAGCGGGAUCUGGAUACCCAUGUUGGCUCCCACAUGUUCCUCGAUGAUGUCAUCGGAUGAACCACGAUGUCGAGGGUUCAAGCAACCUCGUAAACUAUUCCCUUUGUCAAUCGGUAGGUUACUUGCCCGAGACUCGAUCGUCGGUAUCCCAAUACCUCGUUUAGUCUCGUUACCGGCAAGUCACUUUACUCGUACCGUAAUGCAUGAUCCCGUGACCAAACACUUGGUCACUUUGAGCUCAUUAUGAUGAUGCAUUACCGAGUGGGCCCGGUGAUACCUCUCCGUCAUACGGAGUGACAAAUCCCAGUCUCGAUCCGUGUCAACCCAACAGACACUUUCAGAGAUACCUGUAGUGCACCUUUAUAGUCACCCAGUUACGUUGUGACGUUUGGUACACCCAAAGCAUUCCUACGGUAUCCGGGAGUUACACGAUCUCAUGGUCUAAGGAAAAGAUACUCGACAUUGGAAAGCUCUAGCAAAACGAACUACACGAUCUUGUGCUAUGCUUAGUAUUGGGUCUUGUCCAUCACAUCAUUCUCCUAAUGAUGUGAUCUCGUUAUCAAUUACAUCCCUAUGUCCAUAGCCAGGAAAUCAUGACUAUCUGUUGAUCAACGAGCUAGUCAACUAGAGGCUUACUAGGGACACAUAUUGUCGUCUAUGCAUUCACACAUGUAUUAUGAUUUCCGAACAAUACAAUUAUAGCAUGAACAAUAGACAAUUAUCAUGAACAAGGAAAUAUAAUAAUCCAUUUAUUAUUGCCUCUAGGGCAUAUUUCCAACCUGGAGACACCUGUAGUACUCCUUUAUAAUCACCCAGUUACGUUGUGACGUUUGGUAGCACCCAAAGUGUUCCUCCGGUAAACGGGAGUUGCAUAAUCUCAUAGUCAUAGGAACAUGUAUAAGUUAUGGAUGAAAGCAAUAGCAACACACUAAACGAUCAGGUGCUAAGCUAAUGGAAAUGGGUCAUGUCAAUCAGAUCAUUCAACCAAUGAUGUGACCUCGUUAAUCAAAUGACAACUCCUUUGUCUAUGGUUAGGAAACUUAACCAUCUUUGAUUAAUGAGCUAGUCAAGUAGAGGCAUACUAGUGACACUUUGUUUGUCUAUGUAUUCACACAUGUAUUAUGUUUCCGGUUAAUACAAUUCUAGCAUGAAUAAUAAACAUUUAUCAUGAAAUAAGGAAAUAAAUAAUAACUUUAUUAUUGCCUCUAGGGCAUAUUUCCUUCAACAACUAUCGUGAUCAUUUCGGUGAUACUUUCAUGGAGGAUGAUGCUGAAGGUGGGGAAGGGUUAGGUGAAGGUGAAGAAGAGGCACAUGAUGAGCCCGCUGAUGAUCUUGGUCGGACCAUUGCUGAUGCACGGAGACGCUGCGAAACUGACAAGGAGAGGGAGAAUUUGGAUCGCAUGUUAGAGGAUCACAAAAAGUCGUUGUAUCCAGGAUGCGAUAAUAGUCUGAAAAAGCUGGGCUGCACACUGGAUUUGCUAAAAUGGAAGGGACAGGAAGGUGUAGGUGACUCAUCAUUUGAAAAUUUGCUGAAAAUCUUAAAGAAUAUGUUGCCGAAGAAUAACGAGUUGCCCGCCAGUACGUACGAAGCAAAGAAGGUUGUCUGCCCUCUAGGUUUAGAGGUUCAGAAGAUACAUGCAUGCAUUAAUGACUGCAUCCUCUACCGCGGUGAAUACGAGAAUUUGAAUGAAUGCCCUGUAUGCACUGCAUUGCGUUAUAAGAUCAGAGGCGAUGACCCUGGUGACGAUGUUGAGGGCGAGAAACCCAGGAAGAGGGUUCCCGCCAAGGUGAUGAGGUAUGCUCCUAUAAUACCACGGUUGAAACGUCUGUUCGGUUGAAACGUCUGUUCAUGAACAAAAAGCAUGCCAAGUUGUUGCGAUGGCACAAAGAGGACCGUAAGUCCGACGGGCAGUCGAGACACACCGCUGAUGGAAUGCAAUGGAGAAAGAUCGACAGAGUUUUCAAAGAUUUUGCAGCUGACGCAAGGAACUUAAGAUUUGGUCUAAAUACUGAUGGCAUUAAUCCUUUUGGCGAGCAGAGCUCCAGCCAUAGCACCUGGCCCGUGACUCUAUGCAUCUACAACCUUCCUCCUUGGUUGUGCAUGAAGCGGAAGUUCAUUAUGAUGCCAAUUCUCAUCCAAGGCCCUAAGCAACCCGGUAACGACAUCGAUGUGUACCUAAGGCCAUUAGUUGAAGAACUUUUACAGUUGUGGGCGAAACCUGGUGUACGUGUCUGGGAUGAGCACAGAGGAUAGGAAUUUGACCUACGAGCGUUGCUUUUUGUAACCAUCAACGAUUGGCCUGCUCUCAGUAACCUUUCAGGACAGACAAAUAAGGGAUACAGAUAUAAUGUUCAUGCUCAACGCUGGCACCAAAUAACAAUUAUUUAGGUCUAAAACUAAUCCCGAAGGUAGAUGUAGAGGUAGCGUGCCGACCGCGAUCACAUCGACUUUGGAACCAUUUCCCACGCGCAUCGUCACCUCGUCCUUUGCUAGUGUCCGCUUAAUCCGUAGUCCCUGUUUCGAGUUGCAAAUAUUAGCAACAGAACCAGUAUCAAAUACCCAGGUGCUACUGCGAGCUCUAGUAAGGUACACAUCAAUGUAUAUCAUAUAUACCUUUGUUCACCUUGCCAUCCUUCUUAUCCGCCAAAUACUUGGGGCAGUUCCGCUUCCAGUGACCAGUCUGCUUGCAGUAGAAGCACUCAGUUUCAGGCUUAGGUCCAGACUUGGGCUUCUUCUCCUGAGCAGCAACUUGCUUGCUGUUCUUCUUGAAGUUCCCCUUCUUCUUCCCUUUGCCCUUUUUCUUGAAACUAGUGGUCUUAUUGACCAUCAACACUUGAUGCUCCUUCUUGAUUUCUACCUCCGCAGCCUUUAGCAUUGCGAAGAGCUCGGGCAUAGCCUUGCAUAUUAUAGUUCAUCACGAAGCCUUUGUAGCUUGGUGGCAGUGAUUGAAGAAUUCUGUCAAUGACACAAUCAUCCGGAAGAUUAACUCCCAGCUAACUCAAGUGAUUGUAAUACCCAGACAUUCUGAGUAUGUGCUCACUGACAGACCCAUUCUCCUCCAUUUUGCAGCUAUAGAACUUAUUGGAGACUUCAUAUCUCUCAAUCCGGGCAUUCUGUUGGAAUAUCAACUUCAACUCCUGGAACAUCUCAUAUGCUCCAUGGUUCUCAAACCGACGUUGAAGUCCCGGUUCUAAGCCGUAAAGCAUGGCACACUGAACUAUCGAGUAGUCAUCAGCUUUGCUCUGCCAGACGUUCAUAACAUCUGGCGUUGCUCCAGCAGCAGGCCUGGCACCUAGCGGUGCAUCCAGGACGUAACUCUUCUGUGCAGCAAUGAGGAUAAUCCUCAAGUUACGGACCCAGUCCGUGUAAUUGCUACCAUCAUCUUUCAACUUUGCUUUCUCAAGGAACGCAUUAAAAUUCAACGGAACAACAGCACGAGCCAUCUAUCUACAAUCAACAUAAACAAGCAAGAUACUAUCAGGGACUAAGUUCAUGAUAAAUUUAAGUUCAAUUAAUCAUAUUACUUAAGAACUCCCACUUAGAUAGACAUCCCUCUAAUCAUCUAAGUGAUCACGUGAUCCAAAUGAAACUAAGCCAUAACCGAUCAUCACGUGAAAUGGAUUAGUUCUCAAUGGUGAACAUCAUCAUGUUGAUCAUAUCUACUAUAUGAUUCACGCUCGACCUUUCGGUCUCCGUGUGGGAACUUGACUAUGGACCCUCCUUUAAGGUCCGUUUAUUCUGGUGCAAAUGGUUCAAGCUAACAGGAGGUGGGGUAAAGGUGGACGAGCAAUACGGAAUGACAAUGGUGGAUUUCAACAAUCUUGGUUACCUUGACGAAACAUUCGUCCUUGCCAAAGAUGUCGCUCAGGUUUUUUAUUUGAAGGACAUGAGUAGCAAACCGAGGAAACGGAAAGAUAAGAAAACGAUCAGUACAUCAUGCGAUGAUCCAAAGCGCCACAUUGUUCUUUCAGGGAAAAGAAACAUCGUGGGAGUGGAGGACAAGACAGACAUGUCAGAAGAUUAUAAUAUGUUUGGUGAAAUUCCGCCCUUCAAAGUGAACACUGACCCAAGCAUUAAGUUAAAUGAUGAGGAUGCUCCAUGGAUACGGCACAAUCGUAAGCAAGCAGGGACGUCCAAGGGAAGAAUUGAUGUGUAAUAAUUUAUUGUACCAAACUUUGUAUUUGGUCGAUGAACUGAAUGAUGUAUCAAACCUUUUGUCAAACCUUCAAGGGAUUUUAAGAUUUUUUUGAUAUAUAAUUGUAUUUUUAAGAUUUUAAAAUGAAUUAGUUUUAUUUUUCUGAUUUUUUUGAUAUAUAAUUGUAUUUUUAAGAUUUUAAAAUGAAUUAGUUUUAUUUUUCUGAUUUUUUUGAUAUAUAAUUGUAUUUUNNNNNNNNNNNNNNNNNNNNNNNNNNNNNNNNNNNNNNNNNNNNNNNNNNNNNNNNNNNNNNNNNNNNNNNNNNNNNNNNNNNNNNNNNNNNNNNNNNNNNNNNNNNNNNNNNNNNNNNNNNNNNNNNNNNNNNNNNNNNNNNNNNNNNNNNNNNNNNNNNNNNNNNNNNNNNNNNNNNNNNNNNNNNNNNNNNNNNNNNNNNNNNNNNNNNNNNNNNNNNNNNNNNNNNNNNNNNNNNNNNNNNNNNNNNNNNNNNNNNNNNNNNNNNNNNNNNNNNNNNNNNNNNNNNNNNNNNNNNNNNNNNNNNNNNNNNNNNNNNNNNNNNNNNNNNNNNNNNNNNNNNNNNNNNNNNNNNNNNNNNNNNNNNNNNNNNNNNNNNNNNNNNNNNNNNNNNNNNNNNNNNNNNNNNNNNNNNNNNNNNNNNNNNNNNNNNNNNNNNNNNNNNNNNNNNNNNNNNNNNNNNNNNNNNNNNNNNNNNNNNNNNNNNNNNNNNNNNNNNNNNNNNNNNNNNNNNNNNNNNNNNNNNNNNNNNNNNNNNNNNNNNNNNNNNNNNNNNNNNNNNNNNNNNNNNNNNNNNNNNNNNNNNNNNNNNNNNNNNNNNNNNNNNNNNNNNNNNNNNNNNNNNNNNNNNNNNNNNNNNNNNNNNNNNNNNNNNNNNNNNNNNNNNNNNNNNNNNNNNNNNNNNNNNNNNNNNNNNNCCUCGCCUCGCCUCUGUCGCCCCGCCUCGCCUCGCCUCUGUCGCCCCGCCUCGCCGUCGCCCCGCCUCGCCUGAGUCCACAAGGAGGAGAAGAAAAGAGAAAAGAAAUUCCCCUGAGUCCACAUUUAUUUUUUAAAUUUGUCAACAUUUCAAAAAAAUGAACAUUUCAAAAAAGUGAACAUUUUUAAAAUUUAUUAAACAUAAAAAGUGCAUAAAAAUGGUAUAAAAGAAAACAUAAAAGUGCAUAAAAGAAACGAGCGUUAUCUAUACUACUAUUAAAAGUGGAGAGUGUUAUCAGACGAGCAACAUAAAAGUGCAUAAAAAAUGGUAUAAAAGAAAACAUAAAAAAUGCCACCGUAAAAAAUGCCACCGUAAAAAAUGCCACAAUAAGUGUGAAGGUGCCAUGGCAAUAAAUCUAAAUUUUGCCAUGGCAAAAAUAAGUGUGAAGGUGCCAUGGAAAAUAAGAGUAGAAAUUGUCAUGGCAAAAAAAGUUCAAAAUUGCAACAUUCUUCGAAUGAAGAUAUGACAUGACACUACCUUUUUUAAUACAUGCAGGAGUGACAUAUGGCGGACGACAGAACCGAGCCGCUUAGGGAUCCGGAGGCUGAACGUUAUUUAAUGGGCAUCAUCAACAACGAGAUUCCUUAUGUGCCGGGCUCAGAAGAUGAGCAACAAGAGGAUGAUGUAGUCUCUUCUUAUCUGAACCUUGCCGGUGACGAUGAUCAAGAAGGUGAAGGAACGGACAUUGUCGACGGAGGUCAACCGUCAACAACCGACGAUCUCGAAUUUCAAGUAGCAACAACCACCUCCGGCGAGGUAUAUAUAUACAUUGAGAGCCUCUCGUGAUACAAACUUACUGAAAUGUGAAUACAUAUGUAUUAACGCGCGCGACUCUCUUUCUUUUUUUAGCCCUCCGGAUCUGGAUCGAGUACGACAAAGCAUCGUGGCAAAUCCAAGGCGAUGAGAACAGGAGAAACAUAUGCCAUUGAGUCUGUCAGUGAAACCGGCAAGCCCCUACAGCACACCUCAAAGUUUAUCAACCAAUGCGGAGUCGUUGUUAGAGACAACGUCUCGAUCACCGUCCAGGAAUGGAAUGAGCCAAAGAAGGCACGUCUUGGUUUCAGUUUUGUCGACAAGAGAACGAAAAAGGAUUGCUGGAGAAAGCUUAUGGAACAUUUCGUUCUACCUCCGGAAUACAACAAAGUCGAUGAAUUCGGUAACGAGGUUCCGGGUGGACGUCAGAGGAGGAGGCUAGUUAAAGAGUUCGCUCUUCAGAAAAUGGCCGAUGCAUUCCGGAACUUCAAGAAAAAUUUAACCCGUGACUAUGUCAACAAGGGCAAGACUCCGGAUUUCAAUGGACAACAUGAGAAACUGAAAGAUGAUUGGCCAGAAUUUGUGAGGCAAAAGCAAUCGGACCAUUUCAAGGAAAUAUCGAAAAAAAUAAGGAUAAUGCGGGUAAGAAAAAGUACCAUCAUAUUAUGGGGCCAGGAGGAUACCGCAUUGCGGACCCUAGGUGGCAGAAGAUGGAGGAGGACCUGAGGGUGCGAGGAAUCCCUCUAGGUACAGAGGGAUGGGACCCAAGGGCCAAAAGCUGGUGGUACGGGCAUGGGGGGUCGCUAGACCCGGAGACAGGGGAGUGUGUUCACCGGCAUCGACACUUUGCUCCGACCCAAGCCCUUAUUGACGCAAUGACCCAAGCUCAAGCGGGCUUGAUCAAGUUCAACAGAGAGAAAGACGCACUGACUUUAGCCCUCGGGAAUGAUGAACACGGAGGACGUGUACGAGGCAAAGGCAAAGUUCCGUGGAAAGUAGGGUUUUCCCAGGACAAUGACCCGUACGGUUACAAAAGCCGUAAGAGAAAGACGGACCGGGAUGCAGAUCUUAUGACGAAGUUUGCAUCGGAACUCCAUGAGUUGAAGCAGACCGUGCAUGUACUAAUGAAAGAAAAAUCGGCUGCAGGGCCGCAUGAAGAUCAUGAAGCGGAUCGCGGAAGCCAGCAGCGGAGAAGCAGCGUGGCUUCCACGGAUGCCCCGCCUUGUGCUAGUGCACCGAUGAUCGAGAUUCGUGCACCGGAGCCUCACUACCCCGUGGAUGAUGUAAAGGAGAUGAAAGACUGUGAUCUGCAUUAUCCCGUGGGGAACAUUUCCAUGAAGGUAGCUAGCGGCAGUGCUUUACCCUGUACACCUGGAGCACUCCACCACAACAAUCCCAUUGCAUAUGGCUAUGCUCGUGUCACGGUGGAAGACAUAGUCCAAGGGUUUGAGGACCUGGAGAUUGACAAACCUACACCCGAAGGGGAGAGCAGACUUGGAGAUGUCAAGCGCCAGUUCAUUCUAUGGAAAAAGAAGUACAUAGUGUUUCCAGGCGAGGCGCCAAGGCUAGCAAGUCCACCCCCUUCCGAUGGUGGUGGUGGUGGUGGCGGUGGUGGCGGUGGUGGUGGUCGUGGUGGUUCACCUACACCUCCUUCACGCCAUUCGACGCCGUCCCCCGAUCCACAACAUCCGGCGGGUACGACGCCCCCCAAUCCUCCUCCGGCGGGUACGGCGCCCCCCAAUCCACCUCCGGCGGAUAAGACGCCCCCCAAUCCACCUCCGGCGAAGAAGCAGAAGCAGGCGGACAGCAAGGAAACCCGCUCCUGGACUAUUAACCCGGACCCUUAUGUACCUAAGACCACAAGGGUACCGGAGCCCUCACUGAAGCCUCUCCUCCCAAGGCCUGGGGAACGUAGUGAAGCUGACCUCACAUUGGCCGCGUCUGCUGAUUAUGAGAAAUGGAAGGCAGAUAUGAAGGCGAAAAAACAGCCUGAGCCCAAGUAAGUAUUCACUGAGAAGGAAAAGAAGUGGGCCAAGGACUUUUUGACGACACCGUCCCAAGCCGAGCUGAAUAUGCCUGACGACUAUGGACAUGAACUUCGUAGGCAAGCAAAAAUAUUGAACGAGGAAGAAAGUAAAAAAAGCGGGAAACAAGUUGACCAGCUCGGGAUGGAGAAGAAACAAUCUAUCCCCCAGCUCAUAGUGAAAGCCGGUCCGGAAGAGGACCCCGAGAUCAUAGCAGCUGCGGCAGCACUUGGAUUGACUGUAGCGGGUGCCAUGCAACAAGCGUCCGAGAUGGGUUUGACUCUUCGUGCCUGCUUAGACCUUGAGGAUGCGCCUGUAGGUGAGAUAGCAUUCCAAUAUGUGCGGAAGGGGCCUCUCGUCGAGCCUGAGGAGGAAAAUAGUCUACCACAACAAAUGCGAAAGCUGCUACGUUGGUACAAGCAAUUCAUAACAUAUGCCGACAAAGAAUAUGUUUAUGCGGAUGUUACACAUGAGCAUCACAUCAAACAGUACUAUGUACAAGUUCAUAUGAGUGAAUUGUUCCAGCUAUUCAAUCUGCGCGCCCUCGACAAAUGUAUGCUGAGUUGCUACGUUCUGUAAGUGUGAUUUAUUUCUACCUCAUCUCGUUCUUCAUUGCCUGCACUAUAUAUAUAUAUAUAUAUAUAUAUAUAUAUAUAUAUAUAUAUAUAUAUAUAUAUUGUCCUAACUAUAUUGUUGCGUACGCUAUAUAUUAUGCAGAAUGAAGAUUUGGGAAUGCAGAAUAAAAAACAUCCAUGAUGUUGGGUUCAUUGACCCACAUAUCGUUAAUGGACAUGUGUUAGAACAUUACCCCAACGACGUGGAGAAAGACCUGUACAAGUUUCUUAGAAAGCAUCAACUCAAAAGUAAUAUUCUAUUUCCUUACCAUUUUGGGUGAGUGUUUCUCUCUUGUGCCCAUUCUCUUUUGUUUACUCAAUGCAUGGUAUGUCUAAUCGAUGAGUUAUGCAUGACUGUGCAUGUAACGUGUCCACAGGUUCCACUGGAUUCUGCUAAAUAUUGAACUUCACACCUCCACAGUUCUAAUCAGCGACUCUAAGGAUUCGGAUCCAAAGCAUUGGGCCGACAUGAGAAAAAUGCUGAAAAAGUAAUUAUUUUCAAUCAUUUGAGCUCUAUAUCGACCGGUCUCUUUCGUUCAUUUCCUAAUAUCAACUAACUAAUAACUCCCUUAUUCAUUUAAUUUUCUUUGCCCUGUAGGGUUUGGAGACGGUUCUCAGAAGAAAUUAUCGGUGAAUUCAAACAUGAGCUAGAAUUCAGAAAGUUAGUUAAUGUGGAUCAGCAGCCACCGGCGACCGAUCUAUGUGGAUACUAUGUUUGUGAGAACAUCCGGAGAGAAACCACUGAGCGGAAGGAAUCACCUAGCGUGCGGAACGCGAGGGAUAACUUGCGGAGGAGGCUUAGUCCAGAAGCUCGCUUCCGACCAAUUCAAGAAGAAUUAGCAGGAUUUUUAAUGAGGGAAGUCAUCGAUCCUAAAGGACAACACUAUACCGAGGACGAAGAAAUUUAUAUGCAUACCCGAGAUUGAAACUUGUUCGAAGUUGUAUAUGGUCAUCCAUCCUAAUUGUGUAUGGAAACUUGUUUCGAAGUUGUAUAUGGUCACCCGAGAUUGAAUAUAUAUUAUAUAUUCCUCUUGAAUUCUUCUUGUUUGAAAUUUCAUAUGCAUGUAUAUAGUAGCGUAGAAUAUGUGUACUGAAACUUCAUCAAAAAUAAAAUAAAACACAAAAUAAAAUAUAAAACAAAUAAAACAAUACAAAUUAAAAAGAAACCAGGUUUAGGGGGGCUAAAACCCUAAACCUGCCGAGGAGGCCUUUAGUCCCGGCUGGCCACGAGAGCCGGGACUAAAGGUCCUCGGCCCCGACGAACCACGGGCGCCCACGUGGCGGGCCUUUAGUCCCGGUCAGCCACAAGAACCGGGACUAAAGACUUUUGUCGCGGUCCGGAAGAGCCGCGGCUAAAGGGGGGGGGGGUCUUUAGUCGCGACCAUUUAGUCCCGGUUACACAGCCGGGGCUAAAGGCUGUUGCGAACCGGGACUAAAAGGCUUUUUUCUACCAGUGCAUGGACAUCCUGAACCCAUGGGCAUAUGAACCCGCUUUUUUAAAAUGCAUCUUAAACGGAUUUUAAAAUGUCAAAAAUAGGAAUAAAAUUUCACGCAUACAUCUUCCCAACAUGUGUGCGCGGCAUAAUGUUUUGUGAAAAACUUAUUUUUAUUUCGCCACUGCAAAAAAAGACAAAUUUCAGUCCUCUUAAAUAGUGUUCCACGACACAUUUUUUGUCAACGUUAAUUUUUCAUGAUACUUUCUGUGCGCACAUAGAAUGUGAAGAAGUAUCCAUCAAUUUUUUUCCAGAAUUUUUCGGCAAUUAGAAAGGAGUUUUUUUCAAAAUGGGUUCAUAUGCCCAUGAGUUGAUCCAUGCACUUCCGGGUGUACUUGCCCCUUCUGAUCUACUACCUCCAUGACAGAAUAUACAAAACGUCAUAUAUUUUGGUAUGGAGGUAGUAGAAGUGUUCACUUAACUGCUAUUGUAGUAGAUAUGAUUGCAUUGCUCACAUUACGACAUACCUACUCUCUCCAGAUUAAAAAAUAGAAACUCACUCACUCCAGUACAGUAAAUUGACGUUUUGGACAGCAUGAUAGCCAUAAUUGCAGCAGAGAUUAGCUGUCCAGUAAAUCUGACUGGAGGUAGUAAGACCUCCUCCAAUGCACCUCAUCUUAGGCUAGUUAUAGUGGGAAGUAAUUUAGACUAAUGUCAUGCAUAUGACAUUAGUCUUUGUUACUAUCUUCAUAGUGCAAAGUAACAUACAAGUAUUAUCAUAGAUGAUAGCAUUUAUUACAUUAUAGACUCAUUUUGCUUUGGGUUGCGUUAUGUUACAGUAACAUAUUAUGUUACUCCAAACACCUUUCUCCUCAUUAACUCUAUGCCACUUAAGCAAACCUGUCUUGAAAUGCGCUAUGUUACUUGCUAAGUUACUCCCACUAUGACCAGCCUAAGAUGAGGUGCUAAGCACAUUAAAGAGCUAAGCAACUAAAGUCCCCAAUGCAAAGGUGCUUAGUUUCCUGUAGCUUAGCAUCAUUCAUUUAAUGAUUUAGAAACUAAAGUUAUCCAUGCAUUGAUGGAGUUCUUUCAUUUAAGUGUUUUCCCUAGGUUCUCGCGCUUGGUAUUGUUUCUUUCUGGGGUCACCACACCCAUCUCUCUCCUCUUAAUUACCUUGUCAAAUCAUCUGUUUUGCCUACAUGACGGCCUUAGCAUCUAUACAAGGUGGAGCAUCGAGAGGGUCCUAAUAAAUUAUGCUCCUAUUACUGGUUUCUUUCUGCCUUGGUACUGCUCAGUGAUAAGACAUUGAGAAAAUCAAAUUGAUACUUGCAGGAAAAUAAAUUUUUUUUCUGCUGGAUGCUGACUAUUACUCCACUUGUGUGGAUCGACUAGAUAGAUUGUUGUUGCACGUGGUCGGCCAUGAUCAUCUACAGGAACGUACAGCUCGAGAUCUAUGGUCUCGCACUUGUCGCCUGCAAACCCCACUAUUAGCUCCAUCUUACUCCCUCCAUUUCGGGUUUAUUGUGCCCCCAAGAUCAGACACCACGACCAAACCAGUAGGUUUGUGGAGAAGAAAGAUUUAGAUGAUAAACCCAAUGGAGAGGGUAAAAAAAGGUCAGCAUCUCGAGAGCUGGAAGUGCUCCAUGGUCGCGAUCUCGAGAGGACAGAGGAGGAUGGGCCACGUAGGCAGCGUGCAUCGCGUGCUCGAAUCUGCCAGAAGUAGGAUUGGCCGUGUCAAUUAUAUUAAACCUACGUACUGUCUCCAGUCAAGAGAACGUGACGUUUUGGACAGCAUGGUAGCACUAACUGCAGCACAGUUUGUUUGUCCGGUAAAUAUGACUGGAGGUAGCAAUACAUUAUGCGGUGUGGAUUUUUUUUUGCAACAAACAUAGUCUAGAAAAUAUGAAACUUCUUUGCAACAAACAUAGUCUAGCAUAAUACUCAUGUUCAAGUUUUGGGACAAAAUGAGCUAUGUCGUAUUAUGAGCGAAAAAACAGAUAUGCAGCUAAAAAAACCAGGAAUAGUAGUGUUUAUAUAGUAGUACUUUAUCCAUUCCCUUAUACAAGGACAUUAUGAAAAAUACAUUUUGCAUCUAUACAAGGUCACUAACAGUAUCGAGGCAAAAAUUAAUAAUGUUUUCUCGUACUAGCUACUUGUUUUGUUCCUUUAUAUAAGGUGCAUUUGUUUUUUGAUAAAAAAAAUUAAACGUAAGGUGCAUUUCUUCUAAUUCCUCAUAAUUCCCUUGUUAGCCCUUCAGAAAAAAAAGGAAGUAUCUGUCUCCCGAUUGCCUAUAUCUCUCCUUGUAGCAAAAAAAAAAGAAACUAUCUCUUUAUCGAUUGCAUGUAUCUGUUAUUUUCCUUGACUAGCCGAUUUACUUGCCACUAAUUAAAAAAAUUGUCAAGGGUAAUUUCGUUCUAACCAGUCUAUAAUUACGUUCCUUGGUCACCGUGCCGAAAAUAAUAUACCUCACAUAAAGGAAUGGAGGGAGUCCUUGUAUGCAUGUAGUCAUAAUGACACUGUGCUACUUCCUUCUCAUUCCUUGCUUGCAUGCAUGCAGGUGUAUUAAUGAUCCUAGAUAAAGGAAAAGUUGGCUUGCAAAACAAUCAUUAAAUUUUAUCUUGGGGCCUGUAAUUUGAGUUUGUGACCUUUUAUAAGGGAACAGAGAGAGUAUUGAUUAUGUUGCAUUUUCCUCGGAAUACGGCGUAAAUCGUUGUUCUGAAACUCUUAACAUGAGCAUUGCUAGACCAUAUGUCUUGUUAAAAGGUUUCAAUUUUUUUGACUAUUUUUAAUACUCCCUUCGUUCCAAAAUAUAGCGCGCCCGUGCUUUUCGAGGUUCAACUUUGACCAUAAAUUUAACCAACAAGACCGACUGCGGCGGGAGGAAAAAUUAUAUAAUUGAAAACUUCUUUUGAAUACGAAUUCACCGGUAUAAUUUUUGCUCCCGCCGUAGGCGGUCUCGUUGGUUAAAUUUAUAGUCAAAGUUGAAGCGUGGAAACCGAGGACGCACUAUAUUUUGAAACGGAGGGAGUAUUUCUUUUCAAUUCGGGUGUGCCUAGCUAGACCGAGGUUCCACGACCAUUUUCGUAGAUUAUGCUCCUAUUAUUGGUUUCUGUCUGCCUUGAUACGUACUGAUGAGUGAUAACACAUUGAGAAAUAACUUGAUACUUGCGGAAAAAUAAAAUUUUGCUGCCCCAUGCUGCUACUGACUAUUACACCUGUAUGGAUGGACUAGAUAAAUAGUUGUGCAUGUGGCAGGCCAUGAACUACGGCUAGGGAGAUCGUGGCGCACGUGAGCCAAGGCCUCAAGCGCGACUAUAUAUUUCCGGCUGGAGCAGCAUCUAUACUCCAACACUUGCCUUGUAUUGUUAAUGCGUGUGGCUGCAGCGGGCACAGAUUCAGAUCAUCAUGCCCGCCACCGAAAAUGCUGCCGGCGAGGCCUGGGACCGCCGACGUGAGCUGCAGGCGUUCGACGACACCAAGGCGGGCGUCAAGGGCCUCGUCGACGCCGGCGUCACGGCCCUCCCGCCCAUCUUCCGCCACUCGCCGGAGUCCCUGGAGGGCAUCACGUCCUCAAACCAUGACGCCGCGGCCAUCCCGACCGUCGACCUAUCGGCCGCGCGGCGCGAGGACACGGUCGCCCUUGUGCGGCGCGCGGCCGCGACGGUGGGCUUCUUUCAGGUGGUCAACCACGGCGUGCCGGCUGAGCUCAUGGCCGGCAUGCUCGAGGCCGUGCGCCGGUUCAAUGAGGGGCCCGCCGAGGCGAAGCAGGCCAUCUACAGCAGGGACCAAGCUCGCAAGGUGCGUUUCGCCUCCAACUUCGACCUCUUCUCGUCGGCGGCGGCCAACUGGCGCGACACCCUCUUCUUCCACCUCGCUCCGGACCCGGCACCUUCCCAAGACCUGCCCGAGGCUGUGAGGUACGUAGUAAUCCAUACAUGAUCCAUCAUGCAUGGAUUUCUAGUUCAUAAUAUACUCAAUUAUUUUGAAACAAAAAAUAUAUGUAGGGACGUUGUCACCGAGUACGGCAAGGCGGUGACCAAGGUGGCGCUGUCCGUGCUGGAGCUGCUGUCGGAGUCCCUCGGCCUGAGCAGCGACCACCUGCGCGAUAUGGGCUGCGCGGAGAACCUCAACGCGGUGUGCCAAUACUACCCGCCGUGCCCGGAGCCGUACCUCACCUGGGGCACAAAGAGGCACACCGACCCGGGGUUCCUCACCGUCCUCCUGCAGGACGGCAUGGGCGGCCUUCAGGUGCUCGUCGACCGCAAGACCUGGGUGGACGUCCCUCCGGUGCCCGGCGCUUUCAUCAUCAACAUCGGCGACCUUCUUCAGGCAUGCAUAUCCACCAUCCGUCUCCAUCCAUUUCGCUCGCUCGCUCGCUCUCUCUCUCUCUCGCUCUAAGUUGUACUAAUAUGUAACUCUGAUGCUGUGCAGCUUGUCAGCAAUGACCAGUUCAGGAGCGUGGAGCACCGGGUCCUGGCCAACAAGAGCAAAGACACGGCGAGGGUCUCCGUGGCGUCCUUCUUCAACACCGACAUGGAGAGGUCGACGAGGCUGUAUGGCCCCAUCACCGACGGACGCAACCCCCCUAUCUACAGGAGCGUCACGGCUCGGGACUUCAUCGCGACGUUUAACCGCAUCGGCCUCGAUGGUCGCUCGCUCGACCACUACCGGUUGGACCAGGAUACUCCUGCACAUGCUGUGGAGGGGUCUGAAUGAAGUGACAUUUCCAUUUCUUUAUAAUUUAUUUGCAAGUUCAAGUUUAAGCAUUUCCAAAUAAGGGAACGUACUCUAUUCCUCCAACCAAAUAAGUGCCAUAACUGUUGACAAAACUCUCUCACUCAACCAAAGUAUGAGCAGCAUCGCAAAAGUGAGAAGCUGUUGGAAAGAUGCCCUGGAGGCAAUAAUGAAGUUGUUAAAUAUUAUUCUAUUGUCCACAUUAUCGAUUUAGCUUACAUUUUAUACUAUAUAUGUGCAUAAGUUCUUGAAUAUGUGAUUCUAGAGGAAAACCUGCAUGCAUAUAUGAAAUGGUAGACACCAUAAGGAUCCCUAGUCAGGCCUCCAGAUAAGCUCAUGUUUGUUGACGAUCAAGUUUUCCAAAUCAUUGACACCAGAGUACCGGAUGAAUAUUUUCAGUCACCAAACGUUAUACACUAACUGGGUAAUCAUAAAGGUAACUUUUAGGUAUUCCAAAAAUUAUAACCUGGUGCUAGAUAAGUCAAGACUAAGAUUUACCCCUCGGCAAUGAAGGGAUACACUCUGGGCCCUCUUUUUUUUUUUUUGAGGAAAGGCCAUCAUGGCUAGCUUUAUUAUGAUCAAAUAAUAGAUACAUCGUCUACGAGCUUGCUGACCAAAACGUCAGGUGGCUCGUGCAACCAAGAAGAAGAGAUCUUAUUACAAUAACUAUGAUUCGCUAGCACAUGAGCUGCUUGAUUAGCAGACCGAUAACAAUGUUUAUAGACGACCUUUCCUAUAGCCGUAGCCGUAUCCACACACUCCGCAAAGAUUGCCGUCGCUGCAUCCCACCAUCUGGAUUGUCCAGUACAAAAGUUGAUCACCUGCAUAGAAUCAGACUCCGCCUCAAGGCGAUUGUAUCCGAGAGAAUUAGCUAGCUCAAGUCCAUCUUUCAUGGCCAUCGCUUCGGUUGUGACUACGUCAGCUGCAAAAGGGACAAACCUGCAUUUGGCAGCAAUAAAAUUACCAUAUGCAUCUCUCAGAAUAGCUGAGAUCGCUCCCAUUCCCUCUUCCUCAUAGAACACUGCGUCCACAUUUAAUUUCACAAAUUUUGGAUCAGGUUUACUCCAUUUUCUGUCUUGUGUUCCACUUGGCUUAGAGAAGGCUUUGUGAUAAUUGCUUGCAAUCGCUAACACUGAUAUGGGCCAACGGAUAAUCGGAGGGAUUGUCUCAUUAUGCGUAAUGCGUCGCCUGAUCCACCACAAAUACCAGCAAGCCACUGCCACAACCUGCUUAAAGUUCAGAGUUGGUUCGAGCACCAUUGGGAUAUCCGACAAGUUCAGCAAAAACUCCAAAACCGCGGACCCUGAUCUGUCCACUACUGUUGCCUGGUUAAUUACUUCAGUUAGCCGCAAGCGCUGCCACAUCUCCUUUGCAUGGGUGCAUGUGAAUAGCAAAUGAUGUAGGUCUUCUGCUCCUUGAUGGCAAAUCGGACAGGCUCCAUCACUACCAAUAUGUCUGUUCAUUAGUAUGGAUUUCAGUGGAAUAAUUCCGUGCAAUACCCUCCAGCAAAAAAAUCUAAACUUUGCGUGGAAUAUUUAGUUUCCAUAGUAUUCUCCAUACGGCCGGAGGAUUAGAGCCAGUUGCUCCUGAAAUUCCAUUUGCCUGAGACCUAAAAGUAUGCAUCCACUGUAAUCUGUACGCCGUUCGGACAGAGAAGAUUCUUGUUCUAUUCACAUGCCAAGCAACAAAGUCAUCAAAGGCUUGGUGAUUCAAGGGUAUUUGCAAUAUCCUUCGCACAUCCACAGGGUUGAAGAUGCUUCUCAGUAGCUCCUCAUCCCAUGUGCCAUUAUUUGGGUCAAUGAGAUCACUUACCCGUGACAUUAAUGUUUGCCCACGAGGGGUAAUUAUCUUUCGAUCCGAGCUGGAAGGUAUCCAUGGAUCAUCCCAUAUAUUCACUGUAUCACCAGAACCAAUUCUCCAAAUAAAACCUUUCUUGAAAGUCUCUAGCCCCUUCAGAAUACUUUGCCAUGUGAACGACGAUCCUUGUUUAGGAGUAGCUUGAAGUAAGCUCCCAUUUGGAUAAUAUUUCGCUUUCAAAACACGAGCACAUAGAGACUCUGGUUCAGUAAUUAACCUCCAGCAUUGUUUAGCAAGCAUGGCUAAAUUGAACGAAUAUAGAUCACGAAAUCCCAUACCGCCUUCACUUUUAGGGAAGCACAAUUUCCACCACGAGUACCAGUGCAUUUUCCUAUUCUCCUCAUCGUCACCCCACCAAAAUUGGGAAAUAAUAUCUGUGAUAUCCUUACACACACCCUUAGGCAGGCAAAAUACUGACAUUGCAAAAACUGGUAUUGCUUGGGCCACUGCCUUAAGUAGGAUUUCCUUGCCCCCUGUGGACAACUGUUUUUCCAUCCACCCAAUUAACCUAGCUUUAAUUAUCUCCCAAAAGUGUUUAAAGCAAUCACUCCUAUCUUCCCCCACCAUAGCAGGUAGACCAAGAUACUUAUCAGAUAAUGCUUCAGUAUCAAUGUGUAGGAUUUGGCAAACUUCUGCUCUAGUUACCACAGUUGUGUUUGGGCUGAAAAAGAUGCUUGAUUUUGAUAGACUCACCAUCUGACCCGAACUUUGGCAAUAGGUGUCUAGUACAUGCUGUAAGGAAGUUGCAUUAAGAACAUCUGCUCCCAUGAGAAUUAGAGAAUCAUCAGCGAAUAAAAGGUGUGAUACUGACGGUGCAUUUCUACACACUCUAAUCCCAUCCAUGCCAUCAACUUCUUCUUCAUACUGCAACAUACAAGAUAGACCUUCCGCACAAAGAAGGAAGAGAUAGGGAGAAAGGGGGUCCCCCUAUCGAAUGCCUCUAUGCGUCACUACUAGAGAUUAGGCUAAUAACGACCGACAACUAAAAGUAUUGGUUGUUAUAAGUACGAUGGGCUAGUCCCACGUUCAAACUAAUCACGCGAAACUUCCCCAACGACGAUCGAUAUCCCGGUCGUUAGUUUGGUGGUCGUUGUUGAUUAAGUACAUAUAUUUGUUAUUUUUAGAGAGUAAUUAGCAUCCUUAUCUGAUGAGGGAGGGAUAAUAAGGUAAAUAACAAACACAUCUAAGUAUUCCUAAUUUCCUGGCGCGUCCCCUCUCAGAUCGAGUCGCUCCCCUCGGGAUGUUGCCGCCACCGCCAUGAUCGCCACCGCAUGCCCAGUCUGCGCAAUCUGCUAUGAGCGCAGUACGAAGCAAUGGCUAGAGUAUUGCCCAGGCGCAGGAGGCAAGAAGGGCAUGUUCCCCAUCUGCAAGCAGGCCCGACCCGCCUCUUCAAGUCCACCGGCAAGUGCCCCACGCUGGCGUCCCCCUCCCCUCCUCGUCGCAGGACCUCGACCCAGAUGCCCUCGCUGUCGAGGUCGUCCGAGUGGAGCAGAAGGCUUCAUCCCUUGGUCGGGUGCUCGACGAGCAACGAAUCGGAUGCAGAGGCUCCACGCCGAGGUUAGUUUUGCUACCUCAUCGGUCGGAUCUAGGUCAGUGACGAGGUCAGUGCUGCUACAGCAUCGGCCGUAGCUCAUAGUGGGCUGUUGAUUUUUUGAGUCGUUAGAUGGUUCUUGGUUCAAGUCGUUAGAUGGGAGGGGAAGGGGGCGGUGGAUAUGAUGCGACAGUUGUCUAGGAAGGAGAAACAGCGCAGCUGUUGCUCAAUGCGAAAACAGAGGUUGAAUUCGGGUUGUAGUCUCUCGCAUGCCAUGAACAGGACAGAUAUUGGGGACGAGCAGUGUCGCGGCUUGCAAAGGCUGCCGUGUAGCAGGUAAUUAUAGCUAACUGAAUUCUUCACUCGGCCAUUCUUGUUUGAGAUUUUUCGAUUUGAAAGUGAAGAUGCAAACAUGUAGGUUUGUGGAGGUGAUAGCGCCAGUUUUGUGGCACUAAUCUAGGUACGUGCGUACACUUUUCAGCACAAAAUUGGCAUUUUUGGACUUGUCUGAUAUGAAAGUGAGGACAAUGUGUUCGGCUGUUGAUUAUUUAACUUGUACAUGAUUGAUAAUUUUGGCUUGUGUGAACUGAAAAGAAGAGUUAACGAGUUUGAUUUCAGAAUGACCUCGUCCAUGGAUGGCCUAUUGACUCCUACAUCUGGAGGUGUGUCGAUAUAAGCAUUGCCUAAUUAUUGAGCAGCAACAUCUGAAAAUAUAUCAUGUGCAAUAUAUUGUCAUAUAUACGUAGUUGUAUAAAAAAAAUCUCUGUUGAUUUAAUUUGGCAGAAUCCCGAAGAGCAGAUUGCCAUUGUAGACGCUCAGUACAUGGUCCAUCAUGCAGUUCCCAUGCUCCAGGGCAAGGUAAUUGUAAGUUUUCUUGUAAGCUUAUACGUCUCAAAAAUCAAUGUCUCCUUGUGUGCUCAGUUUUACAUAUGCGCAUCAGUUAGAAGCUCCUAGCUAUUUGCCUCCAGGGUGGCAAAGAAAAGCGAAGAGGCUGUUUUGAGGUGUGUAUAUCACUUAUUCUUGAGCUGAAUGGUAGUUUUUUAAGAAGAGGAGAAUAAUGUUCAGUGUUAAUUUGUUGGCUAUAUGUAUUAAAAGAAUUAGUUGGUUAUAUAACAACAACCAAAAAAGCUCAAUUUGUUUUGUUGAGAAAUAAAACAACUCCAAUUUUGCUCGAAUUAGACAAGAAAUAUUCCAAGUAAUCUGUUUAAAAAAAUAGUUUGUCUUUGUUGCAUAUGGACUAUAGAAGAAUUCAAGUGCAAAUUUGUUUCUUCAUGCUAUUAUCCUUUGUGCUAGUUCUUUUAUAUGUACUGACUUAUAAAUCAUUUAUGUUUUUUGUAGAACGGAUGGUCCACCGUUAAAGAAACAUCACGAGGCAUUGUACUCAUUGCUGAAGGAUGAUAAGGACUUGUGAUGGUGUCUCAUGAGUGAAGAGAAAAUAUUUACUGGUUGUUACUCUAUUUUUUUCGGUACAAAUGAAACUGCAGUGGUUGUUCUAGACAGUGUUUUUGGUUAAUAAUUUCCCAAUGGUAUUUAUCUCCAGAUAUGUAAGUGGGGAGUUAGAGCAAGAGAUUUGCGAGGAUCAUCAUUAAGUAUGGCUGAAUUGGUUUCUAAACUACAAUCUUCUGAACAAGCGAGCCAAGUGCUUGAAGAAAAGUUUGUUGGAAGUGUCAGAAAUUAAGCGUCUUGGGUCUGCUAGAUAGUAAGUGAUAAUUCUCAAGGAAGCCAACAUGAUCAAGUAAGUUGUUCUCAUACAUUGAUUUUAUAUGUUUUUGUACUUUGUGGCAAUUUAUUUACAUGGACUGACUUUCAUAAACUACUCAACAUUUUGUAGGACUGAUGGUCCACCAUAAUAUUAUAGAAGCAUGAGGAGGCAUUGUAAUCGCUGAUGAAAAAUGAUAUCCAUUCAAACAAUGAUGGUGUACCUUGAUUGAAGAUUAAUAGAUAUUAUCUUUAGUUAUCUUGUUUUGUAGAUAGGUACGAUGAAGUACGUUGGGCAUAUAAGGAGUGCUUUUGUCUCAAAUUUCUUAAAGGAUAUUUAAUUAUAGAAUUUUAUGUCAGAAUAUUGGCAUUUCUAUUAAUAAAAGAGGCUAUGAUAAUUUCAAUUCAUUUCUUUUGUUUCUACAUUAUUGAAAUGUUGGAUGUUGUAUAAAAUGUUCGUUGAACGGUAUACUAAAUAUAAGUGGCUCUGGAGGAUAUCAAAGUGUUAAGAGUGGUCGGCAAUGAUAAUUUGGCCAGCAUGAUAACAAUAUUAGCGACGACAAAGUGGUCGUUAUUUUCAUGGGGUUGACGACGACACACCAUCCUGUCAUUACAAGAAUAACGAACACAAAAGGUAUGUGGUCGUUAUACUUUUAACGAUGGAGCCUACUAUGACCAGCAGAUUGUGGUCGCUAAUGACCUUUAACGACCACAAUUUGACCUUCAACGACCACAUAUAUCGUCGUUAAAAACCAUUUUUCUAGUAGUGCGUUCUUCAUAACAACUUUAAGAUUCAAUGUCAAUUGAUAGAGCAAAACAACACCAUUGUGGGAAAAUUCACUGGAGCUCCUGGCACGAAUUAAUUUCAGAAAAACUGAAAUUUGGGGUUAUGAAACCAAGGUGCCCAAUCUACUCCAGUGUGAAGAUUCAUUAAAAAAAUACCAGAAAUUGUAUCCGUGGCAAAGAAAUCCAAACAGUUUUUCUCUCUGCAAAGGAAUUUUUCUCCUUUUUUUACUAAGAAUGUGUUUCCUGGUAUUUUUUUACAAAUUUUCACACGAGAAUAAAUUGGGCACCCAGAUUUGAAAUAAUAAAAAAACAGGGUUUUCUGAAAUUUUCACAGUUUUUUAACUUAAUACUCAUAUAGAGGGGUACCUGGGGCACGCGAGUCCUCCAAAUCCUCUCCCCACUAUCGUGUGAGUGUACAAGUACUAUUAAAUAGCAUGCUUUAUACUAUUGUUUUCUCACAUGCACUUAGGUAUAUGAUAGGAGAUACUGUACAUGAAUGAGACAUACAAAAAUCAAACCUUUUUUUAUCGCUCUGCAGAAGUUCAAUACAUUUACAUAUACAUGUCCACAAACUCCUUUGACUAUUGGGUUUAAAUUUAUUGGAAUGUGGGCGAUGGUCGCCCUUAUGUCAUGCUAUUUGCUGGUUUUGUGGCAUUGUGUGUUAUCCUAUUGGCUGGACUAUCCAACGCUAAUUUUGUGUGUUCAUGCGUGUCGUCGGGGAGAAAAUUGCGCAACAAGGCAUUCCCUACUCCCACGUUAACUAGAUUUCUCCAUCCUCCCUUACCUAGGAGAGUCGUAUAAGUACUGUGUCGAAUCCGAGUGGUAUGGAAUUAGGGAUGAGAUUUUCCUCUCCGUCAAAUGCAUAAUAAUCGUUGGUACCAAAAAUGAGAAUCGCCACAAGAUAGAGAUUGUCAGACCUCAAACACAAGGACUGUGUACUCAAAUUCUCCUUGAGGUCGAUCCGUUCUGACGUUAUUGGGAAUUGCACGACCAUGUAUAGAAAAGCAGUAUCCAGAAGGCUCCCUGAGAACUGGGAUCCAAUUAGCUAUAUAAUAUACGGCAGCCAUAUUGACCCGUUCGUCCAACCAAUCAAUUAUGGCACCAUUGUUCUGGUUUUCGAGGUUGAAGUCUUCAUAAUACCCUGGGACGGACCAAUGUUGUCUGCAGAGGGAAAUAAUUUAGAAAACAAAUUGGGUUGCUGAUUGAAUAAUAAAUCGAUGUUUAGUGGCAUACCCAUCAGAAGAGGGGAUCAUCGCAAACAGUAGUACAACAGCAAUAAAAGCCAUGCCAAACUGCAAUUCAGAGAAAUCAUCAUCGUUUUUUGCUUUUCUCCAAAAUCUCACAGCCACUAAAUCAAAGACAAGGUGAAGGAUAUCAUGCUGGACCUAUCAACAUGAUGGUACCCUGAAGCUAGGUAGAUAUAUAGACUUGCAGGUUUGCCAGAUUGCAUUUUCCCUACAUUUCAUCACACGUUUCUCCAAGACGGUACUGUGUUGACAUGAAAAUCAUGUGAUAGAUCAUGCAUUGCUAGCAUGGGUGAGUUGCCAUCUGAUGUGGUUUCAUGCUGCAGCUUACAUGUACUUAUGGCCUUUGAAAACUUGUUCUAGGGGAACCAAACCAACUCGUAGCCAUUACAUGCAGUACAAGAAUCUAGUGAAGUGUCAAUAUUCACACCUUAUUUAAUAAAAUGCAGCAACUGUUUUUUGCACGCCAGUUACAUAUGGAUGGGUGUAAGUCAUGCAAACUGAAUUGCUAACAGCCACAGCUUACUAAUGGUAAACAACACCGCCAUGCAUGAAACAUCACAUGAUAGUUCUCAUAUCAAUCCUUUUGUAUCUAUCCUACGAUAGAAAAGAGAUAAUGAUAUAUCAUACUUCAACAGCUCACCAUGUGCAAUUUUUCUUGGCAGAAUACGUGCUACACACUAAGCAUUAUUUGAAAUACAAUAACUGGAGUAGGAAUGUUGUACAAAUGCAUAAACGGUUGAACAAAAACAACUGAGCAAGCCACUAAAAACGUAAACAGUUUCCGCUUUCAUCUUACCCGCACCUUUCAGAAGAAACUAUGCUCGAUAAAUUGCUAUAGUAACUGCGAGUGACAUGAAUGAUUUCUUCACUUCAACCAUAAACUACUUUUUGAUUUAUUUCCAUGCCAGAAUCUCUAACAAACAAGCAUGGUCUAGCAUUAACAAACAGGAACGAGAACGGAACAUAUGUUGGUUUUGGUCCCUAGAUCAAAUCACCCUAGGCGUAUGUGCAAGCUAGCCUCAACCAAGCAACCAAGCAGGCAGCUGGAUUGAUGAACAGUAGCCACACACACGUACAAGUUUACGCCGAACGGAAAAACUGAUCGAUGGAUUUUGUUGAUAGCCACAGGGGCGUGUCGCUCCUGGGUCUCUCUUUUGGCUUUUCGUUGUCUUGGUGAUUUACAGCGUGGGUUACAUAGGUAUAUAAAGAAGCUAACCUGCCCCUAUACAAAACCUAUUCGGUGAAUACUUGGAGUACUACUCGGACUGGUACAUGUACGUGUGCUCGGACGUCGUGUUUAUUCCUACAUUCACCCCUCUAGACAUGACGUCCUCGGCGCGACCUGAAUCCCAAAUGCGACGACUAUUACUCAUAGACUUCAUCGUUGGCAUUGCCUUUGUCAUUCCUCGCAGCUUUUCAGGGACCGCCUUUAUUGUCAUCAACUCGUCCAUAGCUUGACGCCAACGCUCCUUCUUGGUCGCUUCUUCAACUUUCACCUGUUCUCCGGUACUUGAUAGACUGUCUUGUAGAUCCGUGAGGGGAUAGAUUGUUGGCUUUUAUAGGGCUAGCUUGUAUUCAGCAGGACGUAAUUGAUGUACGCUUGUGAAUCUAGCAAGCUGGCACCCAGGCAGCUUAAUCGACCUUGGCGGAACUCACUCGCUUGGUGAUAGGAAAAAAAAAACCCGGAACGAAAUUGAUUUUGGUGGUGCAUAAGACUUGCACCUUUUCGUUAUUUUUCUCUAGUAUAUAAAAGAUACAUGACCGACUUGUCACGUCCAACUUGUAGCCUAGACGGGCUACCAACACGACGCGACCCGGAUUCGUGCAAGCACGUCUGGUUUACCAUACAUAAGAUCUUUCCUAAACAUAAUCUAUCUAGGACACUCGACCUAUUACGCCUACAAUUAGAUUAACUAGGAAAGUGGUCCGCUCGAUGCGCGGGCAAUGCCUUUUAAUCCUCUAUCAUAUUUUACCAUUAAACUUUUUAUCUACUGUGAGAUUACAAAUAUUCUAGAAUCCAUUUGAAUAUUUUAAUUACCAUUCAUUACUUUUGUAAUACAUAAAUAUUAGUAAUAAUAAAUCAAAACCUAAUUAAUAAGGAUUAAUGUAAAUUUAUCAUUUCACACCCAGAUGUAAUAAUAUUUUAUUAAAAUUUUUUGAAUGUACCAAUGAAAUAAAUAUUGGGGGUUAAUUUUGUUAGACCUUUGAAAGAGAUUAAAUAUCAUUGAUAUUGUCUUAUUAUUGUGUUUCGUGUAGUCUUGAAAUAUGAAGAAUUACAACUUUUACUUGGAUUCUAUUAUAUGUACACUUUAGAACAUAUGUCUCCUGCAAAUUCAUAGUCAAAAUUCAGUAUUACAUUCACAAAGAAAAAACCCAGUACAACUCAUGUGAACUACAAUAUAUCGAAGAAUAUGAUUCUUUUUUUUCGUCAAUUACCAUGAUGGAGGUGAUUCAGUGCAAGUAGUUAUAAUGAGGUCUUUGGUGCUCAACUACAUACAAAUUUAUGUCUCAUAUAUUCGUAAAUAUGAUAAUUAAAUAGUGAACUUGCAUUGUAUUGCGGAACUAUUAUAUGUUGUAUAAUAGAACAUGCCGACAUUGUGUGAGAAAACCGAUGAUGGUGCAGAUACAUAGUUUGUUUUCAUGACAACAUUUUGAUUGAUAGAGAAAAGGAUGUGUUGCAUGGACUUCUCUAGCUGAUUGGAUACUUUGGAUGUCCCCAUCGGUCGUUGCUGCCAGCCAUUCUACCAUGUUGCCAUGAAUUUUGGUGAAGGGUGAGAUUAGCAAGAUAGUAAAAAUCAAGUGGCAUGAGAAUGUAACUACUUGAGACUGGAAUUAUAUCAUUCCAGGGUGAAAUCUCCGGAGAUGGCUACAACUUGUCCUUGCCGGCAUAGGUGUAGAUGCUCCUGUUACUGUUCCUGUGAUGUCUUCUUCGACAUCCAUGUGUACGUACACCUGGUUCUCCAACCACUGUUUUGAACGGCUCACGUUCACAGGGAAGCUCCAUCAUCUGUUUGCUCCAUAAAUCUAUAUUACUCUGAUCUUCCCUAGGUUUUAUUUUUUUCUUUGUUUAGGAUACGCUCAUAGUAAUGUGGAUAACCAAGUUGUCUUCUACCCGAAUGAUAUGUUUAUAGAUAGAUAGACCUGCUAAUAGCUACAUGGUAAUAGAUAAUAUACCUAGGUUUGUAAGAGAAAUCGAUUUUCUUUCCCAGAAUUAUCUGUUCUGGUCAAUUUUGAGUGGACCAUUUAGAACUGGUGAAUUUUGAGCUUUUGAUUUCUUCGAUUUCCUCUUUUCAUUAGCAUGUUAGGGAAAAUUUGGCCCAAGUAUCUGCAUAUUUAACAAAACAUUAUUUAAGCACAAUUCCUUUUCAUAUGAUUUAAUUCAUACGUGCAUGGUUAUAUGGUUCUUUCGGAUUACAAUAUGCACAUAGCUAUGAUAUAUAUCGAGGAUUAAUCUAACUCAACGUACAUGCACACAGAAGGCGUCAAGCUCACCAGUUCCUUCAAUGCAAAGCUAGCCAUGCUAGCUGAUUGAUUUGGCCCAGGCUCAACACGCACGUAUACACACAUGAAGCAAAGAAAUGGAUUUCCCUCUUACAUAACAUAACCAAGCUAAUGAUUGAUUUUCUCCCCGCCGGCCGGAAAGACAAUGCAACACAUGUACAUGUACGUAUGCACCUGAUGGAUGUAUGUAUGCAAAAAUCUAAAUGGAUGAUUUUUUUUUCUAACCUGGACACGUGAUUUUCAUUAGCUAGAUAGACAGGUGUUUUUUUUUUUGACAUGGACACGUGAUUUUCUUUAGCUAGAUGGAUGGGUGUUUCUUUUUACCUGGAUAUAUAAGGACUGGUGCAUUUUUUACCUGGACACGUGAUUUCUUUCGCUAGAGGACGGGCGUUUUUUUUACGUGGACACUUGAUUUUCUUUUUACAUGGACACGUGAGGGCGAUUUUUUUAUGUGGACAUUUGAUUUUUUUUUACGUGGACACUUGAUUCUUUUAGCACAUAUGUACUUUUUACAAUCAUAGCAAAAGAGCCCGUGCGUUGCAACGGGAGAAUGCAAGGCCUGAGAAUCAGGCUCUCGAAGGCAUAGAUAUUCUAAUUGUGCAAUAUUAUCAAACAUGCCAAAUAUGUACCUUUAGGAUCCUCGUACACGUCAGAUUGCAUUGCCGAUUUUUGUUAACGUUUAACUCACUUUUCUUCUUCUUAUUCCACCCAUUAUCUCUGUCCCCCAAUUCAAGAUUGUCGCUAUAAGCAAUGGCACAUCCGACAUGCAAUACCGACGGGUAUUGAGGAGGAAAUAUAGAAAAUAUAUAAAAAAGAGCAUUCUAAGGGCGAUUGGAGUCGAGAAAGUCGAUAAAAUCCUGGAGAUAAAAUGUUACUUAUGGUAUAAAAAGAGUCAUUUUGCUUCCGCUCGUUUGAUUUUCAAAGACGUUUCGCCGUUCAUCAUCAUGGUGGUGACAUAACUCGACUCUGGUGCUUUUGCACCGGAAGAACAACCUGUUGGUCAGCGAGGGUUGCAGAUGAGUAUGGUCUCCUGUUUCCGGGAGUGGCGAGAUAAUAAAUCUCAUACCUGUGUAUGAUGAAGCUGGUGUGUGACCCGUCUUUGUCGAGAACUCGAGAUAGAAGGUGAGGUUGUGUAGCUUUGUACAUAAUGUACACCUUACCGUUGCCGUCAUCAGGGCCUAGAUGCCGCCCCCAUAGGCCUUGCCUUGUACCGCCUCUGACAAUGCAAUUUGUGGACGCUGCUUUCAAGUCCGUUCUCUUGCAGACUCUCACCACCAUCGCUCGCUCGCAGAGGUCAGCGACAUGUCCCUGACAUGGAAAAGCAUUACUACUUUAUAAAUAGGUAGUUCUGAGUCAAUGGAAGAAAAAAGUUCCGAGUCAAUGGAAGAAAAGCAUUACUACAACAACGUUUGCCCGGCUCCGGCGAGGGAGGGGCGAUGACAGCGGCGCGCUUUCGGCUCGCUUUUCAGUGCUUGUAGUCGUCGCUAGGUGGUCCACGGGUCUAGAUAUAAUUUUUAUUACUUCUAGUGUUCGUUGUAUCAUGGUUGAUGAUGUAUGCAUCCAAUAAGCUAUUACUUUGAGAAGAGUGUAGAAUAGCGCUGCACCUUCUUGUUGGCCCAGCGCACAAAUCUCUUAGUCGGUUCAUCUGCAAAGCACCAGCCCGCCAUGGAUCCAGCAUGUCAACUUCCAAAAGUCUGGCGUCAUCCUGUUUGUCUUUCUUACCGUUGGCUUGCCUCGUACAGUUUUCCUUUUGUAGAUAAAUCACACCUAAAUCCGUCAAAGCUAGCUUCUUCUAGAAAACAAAUAAGUCCCAAAAAAUACAGAGCAUCAGCUCAUGUGGUAGAGAUGAAUUGGUCUGGUGCCACCAACGAAACACAGAAGCAACACAUCGCUAGAGAAACCGAGAGAGGGGAGCAUGCAUGGAAGUACGACAAAAUUUAAUCACCCGGGUUCACCUAAAUUACCUCGAAAGUAUGAAUCAGUACAGUCCUAAGCGGAACUGGUGCAUGUAUCCAUACGAAAAAAAAAAACACAUCUAUAUUGAGCAGCUUCAUGGAUAAUCAAAGACGUAGAUGGCUACGCCUCAAGUAUAUCAAUCUCACAAAAUCCAUAACAAAUUUCCCAACUCUGUACUCGAUCCAAAGAACCCGCACACUAUCUAUAGGAGUUGGCGCGCGCGAAUCUAUUUUUGCUGUCGGAGGAGGAAAUCCGGCGGCAGCGGUCACGGCGACCGUGACGGCCACCAUGGUCUCCGUGCUUUGCUCUGCAGGACUCCAUUGGUGCAUGUUGCUCCCUGGCAUGGAUUCCCCCAUUGGCCACAAGAAAGAGGGAUCAAGGCUGCCUUGGCUUGCCGCUUGCUCCGGGCAUGGCCUGGUGAAGCGAGAUGGGUAGAUGUUCAGGAGGAGGCGACGGAGGAUGCAGAGGACCACGUCGUCGGAAUCACGGGAAUAGCUGGAGUGUAGCAGACUGCAACCACCCGUACGCCAUGUACAUCAGGGGGCGGCGGUGGCGGCGAGAAGCCCUGAGCCUCGUAACCAAGCCGGCCGGCUCGUGUCCUGUGAGAUCCGGACUGCGUCACGUCGCCGCUGCUUCCUUUUUUUCUAUUUGUCACGCCGCCGCUGCUUCCGUCCAAUGGUUCGUGUGAAACCCAGAAGCGACACGUGCGUGUCUGGCCGUAUAUUUACAUAUGAGCAUAGAAAAUUUACGGAAUCCUGAGUCGUAACCUUUUCAGUCACGGUGUAGUCGAUCGCUGGUUUUCCAAGUAACUUCCGGUUUUGCACGACGGAGGAGCGAGAAACGACAUACAACAACGGACGGGUAGAUGCACGAAAAACUAUAGAUACUACAUGAAUCACAUGAAUAGUACCACAUCGGAUGUAGAAAAUAAUAUAGGUGAAAAAACUAAAAGCGUAAACUCGCGGGAAGAAGCGUAUUGUGACGGUGAACCCACGGAGUCAAUUCAUGCUUUAUUAUUACUAGCACAAAUGCCCGUGCGUUGCAACGGGAGUGUGGAAAAAAAUAUAGCGAUGCAAUAUGGUUUGUGUGAAACGACGGGUGAGAAAAAAGGUGGAAGAAGAGGAUUCGGAGGCACGCUACUCUAAACUUGUAAGGAUGACUAACAAAAUGAUAAAAAACGGCACAAAACUUUUACUUAGGAACGGCAUUCUGAUGACCUCAUCAGGUGAUGCCAGAGUUGGUAAGUUCUGGUUUACGUCCAUAAUGGCACAUAUCUUGAUUUGUGGCCAACGAAACAAUUGGAUAAGGGACAAUGUCUAGAUUUUUGACGGUAUCUGGAUUAGUAUAUUGGUGUGAGUAACUGGUAAAUUUCUCAUCGUUGAAAUCUUCUUUCAUUGAAUGGAUUCUAAUCAUUACAGGUACUUUGGUAUAUGAGCAGAUACCAUAGACCAACAUAUGCAUAUCACAUUCGUUGUCAAGAGAAAAUACGUGAAAAGGCACUAUUUAUUAAUCUCACACAUGAUGGAUCAAGAAACAAAUUAACACAGGUUAUUCGGCAGCUCCAAUUAAGGGUUCGUAAAGAAACAUCAUUCAGGAAUUUGGGGCCCAUUUGUGGCAAGGAAAAAAAUCUCCUUUGAUCUUGGCCAUCACACAAUAGACUUACCACUCAACCGUGCGAACACAAAGGAAUAUUUAUAAAUUUUAAAACUAAUCUAGUCGAGCUGGACCUAAGGGCCGCCCUACACGAGCUAUAUCAUGCACCUAUUUCAUACACCGUCCCUCAUAAUCCAACUCGCUUUUAAUUUAUUUUUCAAAAUGCAUGAACAUUCUUUUUAAAACACAAACAUUUUCUUGAAUCACAUAACCUUUUUUAAAUUGCAAACAUCUUUUAACAUGCAAACACUUUUAGAAUUACAUGAACACAUUUUUAAAAAGGUUUUUUUAAUGUCAACAAUAUUUCAACACAUAAACUCUUUUUCGGAAAAAAACAAUACAAAGAUUUUAAAAUGCAAGUGCACUUUUUGAAAAAUCGCAUUUUUUUCAGAAAGCACGAACACAUUUUGAAUUGCACAACCAGUUUUAAAAGCAUGCAGACACUUUAAAAUUAUAUAAGCAGAUUUCAGAAGAAAAAAAAUACGAACCACCAAUUCUGUAUCAUGCACGUACAUGUAUGGCACACGACAGCCCAAACAAUAAAGAAAGUCACGGGCUCUUCCCCACCGCGGCGCCCUUCUGCGCCCCUCUCUCCUUUUUCCCUUUUCUUCCUCCCGUUUCACAUCUCUUUCUGAGACCCACCCCACAAAGAAACCGGCCAUGGCCGCCCCAAGUUUAUGCCAACCUCUGCCAGGAUCCAUCCAUCUUCCUUCUUUUGAGAUUUCAAAUCAGGAUCAGCUUCUUCGUCAAUAUUAAUUUCUUUGCCCACCCUUUCCUAUUGAUCCCAACUGGUUUAUUGAUUUCAACUUGCAGCAGUAUUUAAAUUGGUUUAUUUUAGUGUAAGGUAGCGAGGUGGGAUUAUGUAGCAGAUGAUCAAAUCCUCUCUUUUGAUCCUCUCUUUUGCACACGAUCAUUGGUUGGCUCUGUUGGGACGCCCACUUCCGCCGGCGUGUUCUAUCAUUUGCCCAAUUCGUUUGAUAGGCUAAGGCCCAUGCAAGCUGGUCGAGGCAUGUCGGGCUUCAUCGGGACAGCGAGCGAUGAUUUUUUCUAGCGACGUAUUAACGAAUCGUUUUUUUUUUCACCUAUAAGGAUGGCAGUGCUGGAUAAUUAAUUGUCACUUUAUUAAAGGAAAGCGACGGUGAACCCGACGGAAGCAAUGCGUGCUUUAUUAGUAGGUAAAGACUAGUACAAAUGCCCGUGCGUUGCACCGGGCGAUAAAAAUGGUAGAACUUGCUUGAUGGGUCAUUUUUCGCCAUUUUUAAUAUCUAAUUCUAAUAAAUGUUGAACAUGGAAAUUUCUUUUUUUAAUAAACUUUAAUAUUUCAUUAAAAUGUAAACUCUAUAAAAUAUAUUUUUUGAAAAGAAUGUAUUUUUGUAGUAAAGAAGUGGUUUUUUUGGGCGAAUUUUUAAGUGUUUUUAAAAAUUACGAACAUAUUUUUUUGAAAUAUUUUUAAACUGUUUUUUGUGUUAACUUUUUGGGCAUUUUUGUUUGGUAAUUUUUACAGAUAGUUGGUAGCUUGGUUGGGAAAUUUAUUUAUUUACUAUUUGGGCUUGGCCCAAACAAAAUAGUUAAGGUGCAUGGAAGGACCCACGAACUUAUCUUCGUACCGCUGUGACCCCUAAAAGAAGAUCUUCUUACUGUUGGGCCGUGAGGGCCCAACAAUGUGUAAUUGACCCUUUCUUUUGCUACAUAUCUAAAACUACCAUCAGGGAUGCAAUUAAACUAAUUGAUAGUUGAAGAAAGAGCAGAAUAUAUGAAACUUCAAGAAUUAUUCCAGCAUCAUGUCCAAGAAUAAUAACCAAGUUCAAGCCACCAUGUUCAGGUAUAUAUGUAGUCAUCAACAUGAAAUUCUUUGGUUCAAUCCAAAUGCCAUGUGUACAUGAGCUAAAUAUACUUAUACUGGUCUAGCACAGAAAGAAGUACAUGAUCGGCAAUGGCAAAACCUGAUACAGUAUAGACUUGUAUACCAAGGGAAACUGGAACAAAAUGGUUUACAAAAUGUACAAGUUUUACUCUCCAGACUAUGCAGGCUAUAAAAACAGAACACACUCAGGUGCCGGUUCUUCAAAAUACAAAGUCGUAGUUGCAUUUGUUCAGAACAAAGUAUGAAGCAUUCAUAGCUUAGCCGCCUUCUGCUUCAGUUAAAUAAUACGUGCUAGCUUGCUUAUGGAUGUGCCCAGAAAAUUCAGAGUGAACAACUCUGAACCUGACUCUGGCUAAAAGAACAAAAUCAUUGGCUUGAUUUAACUUAUUAUGUGUUCUGCAUUAUGGACACUGUGACAUCAGUAGCAACUUAGUGACAUGUUUCAAUUGGUAAAUAUAAGAAACUUAGUGACGACGCGUGUUAUUUGAGGAUGACAAUUGUUCUCUCCCAUACCCUUAAUCAACUCAUACACUCUGAUAUGUAAAUUCAGGCCAUAUACAUUCAGCUUCUACUACAAAAAGUUUGAACCUAGAAAACCUAGCAAGUACUAUUACUUUUCAAGGACCAAAAACUUGAAAGAGGAAUAACAUAGAAGAAACGAAGAACAAACCUCUAGUGGAAGCAUUACAUGCAUUUGUGAGUCCAAGCAUAAUAUCUGCAAGAAAUUAAGAAAAUACAACAUGCCUCCAAAAUUCAGAGAUCUCAUGACAGGUGGACUGAUGCCCAAUAUAUCUUUAGAUAAAGAGGGGAGUGAGAUAAAGAAUGUGCAUGUUUCCCUAGGUAGUCUGAUGAUCCGAAGCAAAUUAUCCACAAGGAAUAGAAAAAAAAUCAGUAGAACAUCCAACGACCAAAUGGGCAAACAAUAAUAUAACCUUGAAAAGGAAUACCAACAUCAGUAAAUUUUACCACGAAACAAUGGCAGUUCUCUGGCACUUCUUUCCUUGUACCCAAAAUAAUUCCAAAAAUAACAUACAACAAAUUACAAAAAUUCCAGAGAAGGUAAUCUGAUGUACUUUAGUCGUCGUAUAGUGCUUCUACUUAGCCUAAUAGGGGUAGCGCCACUAAAAAAACCAACAAAUCAAAUCAAUCUUGCAAGCUUUUUCUUCACUGUAACUAUUCCGCAAGACUGCUCAAAUAUAAGCUAUUUAGAGGAGCACAACUAUAGUACUGUGCGAUAUUUAGAAAUCA